UUGUAGUUGUUUGAUAUAUUGUAAUUCUUAAAGUAGUCAAUUGAUAAUAUCCCCUAAAAUAAAUGUUCGUAAUAUGUUCUCAUUUUAAUGCAACUGAUUGUUUAAUAAAAUUGUAUUUCUUUGUUAAUCUUUUUUCAUGUGCAUGCUCAGUGAGAAUUUGACUUACUAGAACACAAGUUUGACUCUUCAUUUAAAUGUCUCUUGUAUCAUAUCCUUCAAUGUUGAGUGUGAUUCCAAUAAAAUUGAGUAGGGGGAUCCUUAAAUACCUUUUCCUUUUUUCCAAGGGCCUGCCAAAUUGCUCUAAGUGGUUCUACCCUUUAUCAAUGAAUUAUGACAAUAAAAUUUUUAUUAAAGCAUUUUGUUCCUUAAAUGGUGACUAAUAGUACCCCUUUUUUUGGAGAGGAAAGCCAAACAUGCCCAAAGAGAAUCAUUUACUUUCCUCUAAUGUAUUUUCUAAUUCGUUUUGAGCCUUGAAUGUCUGUUUUGGUGCGUAUUCUCAUUCCAUGUCGAAUCUUAUCCAUAUGGACAACCCCACUUACAAAAAAGUCUAAUGAAUCUAUUGAAGUUCAUAUGAGGUUUGUGCUUUAGAUUUAGACCUCUCUCUCUCUCUCUCUCUCUCUCUCCACUUACAUGUCUUUCACUUACCUGUUUGCAUGCAUGCCCAUUCACACACUUUCAAGAUAAUACACGGUCACUCGUACUUGUGUUUUGGUUGAAUUACUGGCUGCUAACCUCUGUAAUUCAGUUUGAAACUUGCCACCCUUAGUGCUUCACUCAAAUGGUUGGUUAGGGUGAGAUCUGUAUCGUUUUCCUGGUCUCUUUCCAAGGUUAUCUAAAGGGUUUUGGCAGUCUGAUUCUUUAGGGAAUAUCAUUGCAUAAGAUAUCUAUUGUUUGUUAAUGAAUAAUUUCUAUUUAACUAGUUAUCUAUAUAAAUUGGUCAAUUUUAACUGCAUAAUUUGCAUGCAAUAAGAUUUUAUAAGAAUCUUGUUUUCAACUCAUGACUUAGACUAAUGUGAUACGUUGAGCAUUAAGCUACAAGAUCUGCACAUCAAAGUGCUUCACAAUGUUAAGGAGAAAGCAUCGUUUUCUGCUUCUUCAUGUGAUUUAAAGUUUCCAAGGUACUUAUCCAAUAAAAUGUCUUUCAAGACUUUGGAAAUGCUUUUAUGUAUGACUGAGAGAAACUUGUUGGGUUGGUUUUUAGCAACAGAUGGAGUUAUGGACUUUGUGUUGACUUGUUAUUGAUUAAGACAGUACAUCGGCUGAUCUAUUGGCAUCAAGCAGCAGAUGCAGAAAUUAUGGGUGGCAUACCAUUGUAUCCAAAUAACAUACUACAUUGAUUUUUCUGACUUUCUGUUGGUCUCCGAGUGAAAUGCAGGCAUUUGCAGAUGAACUGGGGAUUCCUUUCCUGGAGACGAGUGCCAAAGAUGCAAUCAAUGUGGAGCAGGCUUUCUUGACCAUGGCCGGCGAGAUUAAGAAAAAGUAAAAUCACUUAACUCUUUCCUUCUUGCCGACUGUUCUUAUUUAACAAUCACCAUUAUUGCUGGUUAUAUGCAUUGUGAUGAAAAUUCUGCAAUGAGUAACUUUUUACCUAAUGUUUUCUGUUGGAACAAAUUACUCUGGUAGAAAAGCCCUACAGGGUUUGAGAAAUCCCAUGAUGUGAUGAUUGUGAGCAUUUUAGACACCGUGUAUGGGUUUAUUUUGUGACUAUAAAAUGUUAAGAUUGUUUCUAGUUUUGGUUUGUAGUGCAUAAAAGGAUUCAAAAUUUGACAUCUGUCUAAAUCAGAUUAAUAACAUGAUAAUGUACCUAUGCAAGAUGUGAGGAAUUGUUUUAUCUCACCCCUAAACUUUAAGAAAUUGAAACAUUAUUAUUCAAAAUAUUUAACAUUUCCAGAAUUGAUAGUUGUCUAUUUGAGCAGUGACUGGUGGUUAUCAUGAACUGAUGUGUGGUUGUGGUUUCAAAUCUUGGUGAAACCUGUUGUCAUAUGCUGAUUAACAUAGCUAGUCUCUGAAACAAUUUGUUGAUUCACUAAUUAUGAGUUCAAAUUUGAUGCAGAAUGGGCAACCAGCCUUCUGCAAACAAAUCUUCUGGAACAGUUCAGAUGAAGGGAUAGCCAAUCCAGCAAAACUGCAACCGCUGUGGUUAGCCGAGCAUCUUAUUUUACUUCUACAUGUUAGCUGACUGAUUGUAGACAGUUUUAACUAUGUUGACUGCAUUAUCUUAUGAAUCUUUUAAUCUGUCAAAUAUUUAUUUCCUGGUUUAAGUUCUUUCCCGUUUAUAACAAAUUUAAUUUCUUGCUCCAUUGCAUUCCAAAUUCCUGUCAAUUUACGAGGGAAAAGGAAAAGAGAGACAAAAUGGGAGAAAAUGGUCAAAUUUGUUAGGGGGAGAGAGCUGUUCAAGUAGUUUUUGUUCUCGUUUAUUGUCAUAUCGGAUGGGUAAAGUUACCGAAACAGCGUCAUUUUGGGUGAAUUAUCAUAUUUAUGUAACACUUUUGAUAAUAUUUUUAUGCAACAAAAAAAUGUUAGUACCCUUUUCACAUUGUGAAGCGCAUGAUCGGAUGAGAGCAGUCUGUAUUCUGGCAUCACAAGCUAAUGCUUUGAUUUGCUUAGUUUGUUUUUUUUUUUUUCAUGGAAUUUGGAGAUGUUGUACAUGUAUGAAGAUGACGUAAUAAAGUUGUUUUGAUAAAUUUCCCUGGUCGGUUUACUUCACUAACCAUUAAUGCGCAAAGCCUCCUAAUGACCCUAAAAAAUCCCGUACAUAAUUAAAGAAUUUCAAUUUUAUACGUACAAAAAUAAAUAACUCUCAAAUAUAUUAUUUGAUAAUUCCAAAAACAGCAAUUCAUUCUAAUAAAUCUCGUAGGAAAUACAUGGUCUAUAUUGCAAGUUUUUUUUAGACUAAUUCAAAGAGAAAAUAUGAAGGACAUAUUAUUGUCCUUUAAUUGUCAUAAAGAACUCUAAAUAAAUUCUUAUACGCAUUGCAACUAAUUACAGCCUUGAUACUUCAUUUGGUUUUUGUUAAUUUUCUAUACAGUUGUGCUGUGCAUUAAAGUUUUGUUAAAUGAAAUCGGUAGGUGAGGAUUAAUUAAUCAAUUAAUUAAGAUCCAGUUAAUGUAAUUAAUUUUAUUUGAUUUUUUUAAUUCGAGUUCUAAAUUAAUCAAUUAAUUUAGAUUCAUGUGAAAUUGAAGUGAAUUAGUUUCGAUCUGUUUUUCGUCCUAUGUUUGUCUGUGUUUACUCUUACUUUGUUUUUUUUGUUUAAAUUUUGUUUUCUUAUUGUUUACUGAAUAAAUUUCUGAGCUUUAUUUGAGUAUGAUGAUUGAUUUGUGAUUUUAAUCUAAAUGUGUUGGGCUGCGAUUUAAUUGAGUGAUGUGUGAGCGCCAAAUAUUCAAUAACUGAUAAAUUAUAUUUAUAAAUAUUAAUAGCGAUGGCACAUAAACAAUUAAUUCAAGAACUUGCCCAUAGUGAUUAAUUUAAAGAGUAUAAGUAACAUCGCAAUACAGUCUAGCCCUUACAUGUUUAAUUAGCAAUUGAAAACUACUGUUGCUGAUGAGGUAGAACAUUAUAACACUGUUGCUGAUGAGGCAGCUGGUAAUUCUUCUGGUGAAGAUAUUAAGACUAUUAAAGCUGAAAUGUAAUUAGAGAAAUAUAAUGCAUUCCCUUAGUUUGCUUUUUGUUUUUUAUAUUUGUUUGGCUAAUGCUUUGCUUAGAUUGCUUUUUGUUUUUUGAGAUUUUAUUGGCUUAGUCGUGGGGUAUUGUUUUCUCUUCUAAUUUCUAUUUUUGUUGUUAUGGGAUUUGAUUGUGGUGUACAUAUACGAAAAUUAUGUAAUCAAAUGCUUUCAAUAAAUUAUUUAAAUUAGUUUUCAACUGAGAUUUGAAUUUUGAAAUUACAUACACAAACAAGCCCUUUUUUUAAAAUACUAAUAAUAAAAUAUUUCAUUUUUCAUCUAUUACUACAAGAGGUAUAAUCGCAAAAGUGAGGAAGGCAGUCAUCCUCUGUUCAAUUAUCAAAAACUCCUUUUACCAUCCAUUUGAACAUACAUAAUCACGCCCAAUUUGAAAAAAAAAAAGUAGUAAUUUUAAAAUAUUUCAAUCGUCCACUGUUCAGUCACCAAAAACCAAUUUACCAUCCAUUUCAACGCCUAAUUUGAAAAAAGAAAAUACUAAUAAUAAAAUAUUCCAGUCGUCCAUCCUUUCACAAACCAAAAAUAUCACCAAAAACCAAUUUCCAAUCUAUUUCAAAACAAUUUUUGCCAAAGUCCUCCUCGGCUAAUUAAUUCAUACAUUAAUACAGUCCUCCUCUGCUGAAUAAUGCAAACCCGUUACGUUAUUCUACCAUUUCUUUUUAAAGCAUUCCACCAUUUAAUAAAAAAAUUCGAAAACCCAUUAUAUACAAUACAAAAAGCCCACCGACACCAAACCAUAUUAAUUUAAAAUAGUUUUCAAUUGAGUUUUGAAUUUUAAAAUUACAUACACAAACACACCCGAUUUAAAAAAAAUAAUAAUAACACUAACAAUAAAAUAUUUCAGCCGUCCUAUGUGUUAUCGCCAAAAACGGAUUUCCAAUCUAUUUCAACGCGCGGUAUAUGAGUUAACAAGUCCCAAUACUGUCCUCCAUCCUUUCUGCACUUCUCUGCUAUCAACGGACAUCUCGAGAUCCGUAAUUCCAAAAGUGAGGAAGGCAGGCCCUUCUCCGGAAAGUAUUUGAGCUUGGGACAAUCAAAGAGAUACAAUUCAGUGAGGUUUUGAAGAUCAACAAUUGAAGAAGAUAGGCGUUCCAGAUUUGGAAAAGCUUCAAUCCACAGAGAUGUUAGAGAGGCAGGAAGAGGAAGCGCGGUCCCUAAUCUUUUGUCCUCUAGUGGAAAUGAAACCAUGUCCUCAUCGCAUCUGCUGAUUGUAAGACGUCGCAGAGAGGAGAAUCUGUGAAAUCCCCGUCCCCGCUCAAUCAUUGACUUCCAAAUCUCCAUAUUACCCCAAAUAUCAAGUGACUGAAGGUUGGUGGGAAGGCCAUCUUCUUCUUCAAGGCUUGGAAGCGCACCUCCUUUUCCUAUUCUUAAGUAUUGAAGAGAGGUCAGAUUGUGCAUUCCCUUGGGUAAGGCCUCUAGUCUCUUACAAUCAAGUAUCGUCAGCCUCGUGAGUUUCGCACAAGGCAAUCCCCCUUCGGGAAAGGACACCAGAUUUCCACAACUAUCUAUACUGAUUGUUUCAAGAGAUGUGUUGUUGUCCAACCUUUCUGCUAUUGACCCCAGAGGUAGAUUGCCAACUUCAAGGGACUCAAGCGUGGCAGGUAACUCGUUUUUUGAAAAUAUACAUGUCAGAGAUGGACAACUAAUAAUUUCUAAGUGCUCGAGAAGAGAUGAGGUGUACCUUCUGCUGCUGCUGCUACACUGGAUGCCCUCUUCCACUGUCAAAGUCCUUAUAUUAUAGCAAUCGCAGAUCUGCAACUUCUUAAGGCUCGAUGGUAGCUGGACCGCAGCAAUAUAUGUCAAGGAAUGGCACUUCUCAAUAUCCAAGAUCUCGAGAGACGAAUUGGUGUCGCACAUCCAUGCCUCUGGUAACGAUUUCAGUGCAUCACAAUGCCUAAUCUGAAUUUUCUUCAACUUGGAAGGCAGAGCAACCUCAGGAAAGGAAACAAGGGAACUGCACUUGCAGAUUUCUAUCUCUCUCAAGGAACUGAGGCUGAACGAUGAUUGUGGCAGCUUCACAAGGCCUUCGCAAUUACUCAAUCUUAGAUAUUCAAGUCUGCAUGACAACUCGCAGAGCUGCUGUUGUUGGUCUUUCUUUUCCUCCGCCACCAAGGAUUGAAGUUUGGGACAGCUGUCAAUCGUCAGUCUUUUGAGAGAGCAAAUGUCUUGCAGUAAUUCGUUAUGACUCUUCCAUAUAUGUGUUUCAUUUUUAAUAUUUUUUAUCUCCAAUUCUUCCAGUUUUGGUAUUCGCGGCUUCAAUGGCCCUGCGAGAAACACUUGAUUUGAUGUAUCUCUACAAACCACUGAAUUCUGUGAGCCGAGAUGAUCAGUUGCACUUCUCCACACAACCUUUUUACAUCCACCAAUUUCCAUUUUGCAAAGAGCUGGAAGACUCGCAAUUGAAAUUGAUAAUUCUUCGCAUUCUCCAAUAACAAGCAUCUCCAAUGCAGGAAGGUGCUCUGGAAAUGUUCCUUGCAGUUUAGAACAUCUUAAAAUGUGAAGCUCUCUCAAUUUAGGAAACCGUUCAACUCCUUGACUGGAUCCAUGAGGAAUCCACUCUUCCCACUCUUGCAGGUCUUCAAAACGAAGAGUCUCCAAGCAUGUAAAUGGAAUUUGAGAGUCAUCCCCAUAGAACUCUGAACCCAAUCUCUUUACUCUACUCAUUCCACGCACUGUAAGAUGCUUUAGAGAGGGCAGUUGGCCGACUGACGGCAGGGCAGUACACAUGCCGCAAUCUUCAAAUUUAAGUGUUACUAAAUUUAAGAAUGAGGAAUCUCCUAACCAUGUUGGAAAUUUUGUACCUCCAUAGCCACAGAUACCAAAUUGUUCCAGAUUUUUAUGGGGUUUGAGCACGUCAAGCACACCCAUUUCAGUUUCUGCCUCCCUUGAAGAUGAACCAUCGGUGCUGCAAGUCCAAUUAAGCGAUAAUUCUCUAAGAUUCUUCUUUCCAUCCAACCGAGCCUCCUUUGCAUCACCAAUGUCUUUUACAUUCUCUAAUUUUGAAAUUUUAAGUGUCCCCUGAAGAUGUAUCAAUGACUUUAGCUCUCGUAACCCAGAACCAUUGUCUUUUCCCACAGCGAAAUUACCCAGCAUUUGAAGACAAGUCAGCUUACCAAUUCCUAGUGGCAUUUCCUCCAAGGAAUCUGUAUUUGAAUUAUUGAGAUGAUGCAAUUUGAUGAGAUUUCCCAUGUCUGCACACAACUUCUUCAGUCGUCGACAGCCCUCCAAAAGAAGGGUGUGCAAGUUGUAAAGCUUGCUGACUGAUUCAGGCAGAGUUUUAAUUUCAGUUCCAGACAGGUUAAGGUGCCUUAAAUACCUCAAAUCACCAACUGAAUCCGGCAGCUCGGCUAUGCAAUAUCCACGCAGAGAGAAGACCCUUAAGCUUUGGAGUUUGAACAACUUAGGAAGAAUGCUAUGAGCCAAGUAUCCAUGCCGACUAUUUAACAUCACUGGUAAAAAAUUUCUCAAAUGUUGGAUAUCAUACAAUUUCUCAAACCUUUGAACGCCAUCAUAAUCUCCACGAAUGUACGACAGAUGACGAAGAUUUCUAGAAAAACUUUGUUGCUUGUUAACCUCCGAGGUAUACUCCAGUGUGAAGUAUGUCUCCCCUGCAGCCCAACGGGCAAGGUCGUUGAUAAGAUCGUGCAUAACAAAUCGUGACAUACUGUUGCUCGAUUGCUGGAAAAAAGAUCUUCCACGUAGCUCUUGAAAGAACUUUCGACCAAGAUCUUCACUAGGAUUCCCACUCUCUCCGUGAUUCAAGAAACCCACAGCACUCCAUAAUAAAAUUAUCUCCCCCUCUUCAAAUUCAUAAUCCUUUGGAAACAAUGAGCAAUACGCAAAGCAUUGUUUCAAAGGUGCCGAAAGAUAAUAGUAGCUCACUCUAAGCGCCGGCAUAAUGUCACAUCUCUCUUCUUGCAAUUCCCAUAUCUUGGUACUGAGCACUCUCUCCCAAUCACAUCUGUCAUCUUUUCCUCGCAAAAGUCCUCCAAGUGUUUGCGCUGCCAAGGGCAAGCCAUCGCAUUUGGCCACUAUCUUCUUGCCAAUUUCCUCCAAUAACUUAUCUGACCCCAAAGAGUGUUGAGCGAACACAGACAGACAAUCAUCGUUUGACAACUUUUUCAAUUCAUAAGCCGGAGCAGUCCCCAUGAUGGCUGCAACCCCUUGAUUACGAGCUGUGACAAUAAUCUUACUUCCCGGUGCGCCAGCUUCAAAUGGACGCCUGAGUCGAUCCCAAUCAUUGUAAUUCUCAUUCCAAACGUCAUCUAAAACAAGCAAAAAUUUAUUUUGAGAUAAUUUCUUCUUCAGCUCCUCUUGAAGCUUAUUCAAGUCGUGAUUAUCCACAUUCUGGUCACUAGCAAUUGAAAGUAGGAUUGAUUUUGUAAGCCUGAUAACAUCAAAAUCAUCAGAGACGCAAGUCCAUGCCUUGAGAUCAAAAUGAUCCUGCACUUGCUUAUCAUUGUAGACAAGCUGAGCGAGAGUGGUUUUGCCCAGCCCGCCCAUACCAAUGAUAGGAAUAACGGAGAAUUCACCAUCAUUUCUCAAAUCAUCCCUCAACAACAAUACAACAAUUUCCUUCUUUUCUGUUUCCCUCCCAUAUACCUUGGCUUCAUUCACCAAAGAGGUUGUGGGUAGUCUUUGCCUAUCUUUUUUGGACCUUCCAACUGAACUUACGUUCAAACCCAGCGAGUCUUUCUGUGUUACAAUAUCUUGAAAUCUGUCGUUGAUCUCUUUGAUUUUGGACAUUAUGGCGUAAUCGAACUGAAUCGAUUGUGGAGUAAAAGUGGUGCAGCAAGUAGGAAUGAGCUUCCGAAACUUACUUGUUCUUGUACGACUGCUACUGGGUUGAUCAAGAGCAGCAGCUGGAUCUCGAUUUCCAAGCAGCAACUUCCUCCGGAAAGCCUCAGUUUGAAACUCAUCCAGCAAGUCUUCAACAUCAAAAGCCAAGUUCUGAAGCUCGCCAAGCCACAACUUCACAGACUGAUCAGUCUUCUUCUCCUCAGCAUCAGCAAGCACCGCCUUGAUCAUCACCAACAUAUUCUUCCACUUCUUUAGGUCGGCUUGGAUUUGCUCUUGGCGUGCAAACAGCCGAAUCCCCUCUGAAGCUAACUUAUUGACCAGCAAAUCAAUGGACGCCGUAAGGAUUGCCUCUCCGAUGAAUGACAUUUUUUGUUCUUUUGCUUUUUUUUUUUUUGGUUUUGCAAAGAAAGAAAGGAGCAGAAUUAUGGGUUAUGGAAAGCAGAAUGAGAAAAUGGAACAGGUGAGAAAAUGGAUAAUUAAGCAGAAUGAGUGUGUGAUUGUGAAGGGUCUGGCCCAGCAAGCUUAGUAGAAAUCACGCGUUGAUACUUUAUUGACCAAUGACUAAUAAUUUGGCAAUUCACUCAUCACCACCACUUGGUAAGCAAAAUGAAAAUGCUUAGUAAUUAAGUGUCAAGGGUCAAGCAAAUACGGCGUUAAUCCAGUGUCUAUUUCCUAGAACCUUCAUCUCAUAAACCAAGUUCAAUCAAAACGUUCCUCUCUCGCUAUUUUUUUUUUAAAAAAAAAAAACUCCUAAAACGUUUCUUUUUAGAAAUAUUUUACUUUAUUCAUCUAAUAUGUUAUCUAACAAAUACACACAAUUGAAAUCACUCUAAAGUGAAGAUGAAAGGGGAAAAAAAUUACCUUCCAACCACCAGUAAUCUAGCAAGCUUCACUUUAUUCCACCAAAGUGUAAAUAAAGCCAGCCCCCACCGGCAUCAAUAAUUUUGCAAGCUUCACAGGCUUGUUGUCUUCUCCUUGACGAACUGGACAUGAGUGCACCAAGAAUCAAUGACAGAAUUUUAAAAAUAAUAAUAAGAGAAAAACCUACAUAUUUUCGACUUAGAGUAGAACCUUAAUUAAUGCUAAAAUCUACUCAGCUAAUUUUCAAAACCGUGAUUAGGGUUCAUCUCAAAUGUUUGAAGAGAGUCUAUCAGUUCUUCUACGUUAAGAAUAUCAAAAUUCUUGCUUUUUCUUCAAACAUUGAAGAAUGAAAACAAAAAGUUGAAUAUGGAAGAAAAGAGAAUGCAUCCAUCUUCGCUGUAGAAGUCUUCUACUUAUAAAAGCAAGUUAGAAUAAACUAUUUUAAUCUCUCUUUUUAUUCUUGUAAGUGCACUACAUUUUUUUUUUUAAUCUCAAUGCGAAAUCAUAUCAUAAUGUUAUAUUCAUGUUGUAAAACGAAAUUUUAGAUAAAACAAAUUCGACUCAUUUUUUAAAGGUAUAUAUUUAAUAGGUUACUAACAUAACUAACAAAACGUGAUUAUUACACUAAGGACAUGUUUGGUUACUGUAUUAUAACCCCUCAUUGCAUUAGUUUUAUACAAGCCUAUGUUUGGUGAAUUAAAAACUACAGAAACACUGCAUUAUGGGCCUAGCUAAUGCGGCAAACUGCCGCUUGCUGUUUCCUUUUUUUUUUUUUGCCUUUUCAUUUCCAACUUUUCAGUUUUUGCUAACUUUUGUUUUUACUUUAAUUUUUUUUUUCUUUUCGUUUCCAACUUUUCAGAUUUUACUAACUUUUGCUUUUACUUUAAUUUUAUUAUAAUAAUAAUAAUAAUAAUAAUAAUAAUAAUAAAUAUUUUUAAUUUAAUAUUAUAUUAUUUAAUAUUUUUAUUUUUACAUUUUAAUUUAUUAAUAAAUUUACAAUUUAUUAUGACUAAUAAUAAAUAUUUAAAUAUGAAUAAUAUUAAUUUAAAAUUAAUAAUAAUAUAAAAUAUUAAUAUAAUUUAAAUAUAUUAAUAUAAUAUAAUAUAAUAUUUAAUUUAAAUUAAUCAAAAAAAUUAUUACAGUACAGUGUAGUACCAAACAUUGUACAGUAUUAUUAUAAUAUAAUACUAAUAUAAUACAGCAUAAUAUAAUACAACAACAUUAAAGUAAUGCAAUACAACAUAAUACAAUACGUGUACCAAACACACCCUAAAUGAAAUAAAAGACAGUACUAUCACCAAUAAUUUAGCCAGUUUCGCAUGCACGUGUUUCUAAAAACAUUAUAUGGAAUCAAACAACAGUGAUACAAAGAGAAAAGUGGAAAUCCUCUGAUUGUAUUUUUUUUUUUUUUUCAAAAGAAAUGGUGGGGUUGGUUUGUUUGCAAAGUUAUUAGCGUGGGUCUAUUUGUUUUUGUUUUAACUUUUUUUUUUAAACCAUUCAGUUUCUGGCGACCGCAUUGAAUCCUGACUAAUUCGAAUUCGAAGUGUAAUCACAGUUAAGACUCAUUACCCCUCCCAAAUGGUGUGUUUAAUGGGGAUCGAAACCGAGAGCCCUUCUCACAAAUCCAACCAGCGUUGCCAACGGAGCCACAACCAUUUGGUUUGUUUUAACUUUAUUAUUCGAUAAGCAAACGUGUAAUGAUUUGUAAAUAUCACUAGCAUCACAUUAUUGGGAGGUAUUGGGCUUAGUAUUCACAAUUUUUGUAAGAUGAAUUUGUAAGACUAAUUAAUUUUGAUGAAAAUGUAUCGUUAUUAAGAUAUUAUUUAAUUCAUUAAGUUAACUUGAGGUAUUAAUAUUCACUAAUUGUGGUGCUGAUUAAUUUACUUAACUUGUCACUAUUUGCAAUUAUGAAUGAAGUUCAAUCAAUUUAUUGAGAAAAAAAAAAAACAAAGAUACCUUUUUUCUUUUGAUUUUAAUUCUUAGGAUUUGAUUUCACACUCUUUCGUUUUUUUACGUUGCUAAAGAGGCAGUAAAAAGCUUGCUGAAUGUCAUCAAAUUGGCAAUAUUUGUUUGGUAUUUCAUCUCAACGGAUGCAGUAAGAAUUGCCUCUCUGAUGACUGAAAUUUUUUUUUCUUUUUUUGGGCAAAGAAAGAAACAGAAUUUUGAGUUUUGAAAAGCAAAAGGAGAAAAUUGAACAGUAAGUGUGGAGGGUCAAGCAAAAUGCGCGUAACAAGCCUUCCGCUUGUUGUUUAUUCCAGUAAAGCGAUAAUAAAAUCAGAGCCCGCCACCCAUUAAUAAUUUAGCAAUUCACCAGUCACCAGUCACCAGUCACCAGUCACCAUGAAUAUAUUAAAUUGCACCUUGUAUUUGCGGGAUCCAGCAACAUUGACCCAGUGUCCGGGUAAAUACUGAAUAAAGAGGAAAAUGGAAUGUAUCCACUACGAACCUUCGCUUUGCAAGUCUUCAAACUCAUAAACCAAGAUAAAUCAAAACGUUUAUCUCUUCUAUCUCUUUUUGCCAUAUAAUUACUUUAUUUAUUGAAUUAAUUUCCAUGCUAAAAGGAAGACUUAAAACUGCACUACAAUUUUUUAUAAUCACAAUGAUAAUUCCUACUACCAUGUUAUUUUAAUAUCGUGUCAAAAUAAAUUAUAACAAAAUUUUUUUUAUAUGAACACUCUUUUUAUUUAUAAAUUUCUCGAUUUUUAAUAUUUUUUUCACUCUUUUAGUCUUAAUAUUUGUAUUUCUCUCUUCAAACUUUCUUUAUUAUUUAAUUUUUAAAUAAAAAUAUGAAAAAAAUAAAAAAAAUAUUAUAUUUAAAAAAUAAUAAAUAUUUUAUCGGUCUAAUCCAUUGACAAUGAAAGAGCACGCGAAAAAUCUCACGCAUAGAAAACUUUGUGAAAGGCAUUUGAAUGUGUUGCCACAUUUUCCAAACGAAACGAUAAGGCUUUAGCCUUAUAAUUGCAAUUAGUUUGUCUUGUAACGAAAUUAUUGCCGACAAACACCAUCAUGCUGACAAGCCGUGCAUGCACGUCCUCAAUCACCCAUGUCCUCUACUUGUCUUUUGGUGUUUACGGUGUAGUUAGGGAUGGUAGCGGGUAGGGUCUGGUACGGGUUUGACAUCACCAAACCCGCAUCUACAAAAAAUUUUAAUUACGUAAUUCAAAUUAUAAAUUUAUAACCGUUGCCUAAAAAAGCCACAUAAAAUACUUAAUUCUACAUUUUAUCAAUAUAAAUGAGAAAUGAAAAUAUCAACAUUAAAACAAAUACACAAAAUAUAUCAAUUUAACACCAAUUCUAAAAUUCAAUUACCAAAUAAAUAAGUCUAUCACAACUCGAAGUGCUUUUAAUUUAAAAUGAAAAAAGAGAAAGAGAAAAAACAAAGAGCUACAAAUCAAAGUAGCACCCAGACCUAUUUCAUAGGCUCAUUCGACACUAAGAUCUUAGAAUUAAGAUCUUCAAUUCAUUCAUUACCACUAGCACCCAUUCAACGUGGUUUUUCUAAGCAAAAUAUAAAGUACAAAAUUACAAUAAGCAUAUGAUACUCCAUGCUUUAAGUUAAAGGUCCUUAUAUAAUUUUAUGAAUAAUGAUUUAGUGAAAUUUUAUGAUUAAAGUUAAAAAUACACAAAUAUUAAAAUAAGAAUGUUGGACACUUGCACAACUAUUUGCCAAAUUUUUUCUCUAUAAAAAUUCACUUGCAACUUGCAGCAGGUUUAAAUUUAUAAUAUCAAACUUGAUUGUAGCUCGCAAAAUUUUUAGAUUUGCGAUAAUUUUGCCACCCUAAGUUUAGUUAGUAUUGUAUAUCGUGUGUUUCCAAUUGGCUCUUAUAAAAAGCCUAGAAGUUGUAUGAAUAAUGAGGGAGACAAAUAUUUCCCAAAGAUAUUAUCUUUUUCAAAUUUUUUUCUUUUCUCUAUUAUUGUAACUUCAAAUCCUUAAAAAAUUACAUAUUACAGACAUGAACACAAUGUUUUGACAUAGUGGCUUUUGGCUUGUCUAGAGAAAUUUAGGAUAGAUUUUGAUGUACUAAGGCUCUGUUUACUAUUAAGAUUUUGGAACUUUUGAGCCACACUUGAAAUUUGUUUAAUUCUAAUAGAGUUGUAGCCUUCGAUAUGUGAUUGGUAUUAAUCAAGUGUUAUGUUUACAACAGUUAAAGGCAUAUUGAAUCAAAGUCCACUUUUGAUUGAGAUUUUAAAGUAGGUUUUUAACUUGAUAGCCACUCAAGUUCAAAUAUUGGAACCACAGUGCACCUUUCACUUACUAGGCUUUAACCAAACAGACGACGUUAUACAAACUUCUAUCCAAUAAGGCAAUGCAAACAAAAGCAAGUGAAUUAAAAAUAAAUAAUUUCUCAUUAAUUUGCAACAAGUAUUAAUAAAGUGCAUGAGAAAAUAUGUCUUUUUUUAAAUGAAAAUAAAUGUGUUAAUUAGUCAAUUUAAAUGGUACGAUAUUUUGAAAUGAUAGAAGCGAUCUGGAGUUUAAAUCUUACUCUUGACGUAAUAUUUAAUAACGAAUUUGAAGAACAAUUAAAAAUUAAAAGAAAAGAAAAAAACACUUUCUUUCUUAAUGAUGGUAAUUUGUUCAGAUGAUGAAAAUUCUUAGAGUGGUAUAAUAAGUAUUUUUGAGUGUUGCCAUCGCCAAUAAUAUUUAAUUUCCUUUAUAUAGUUAUAUCUCAAGUAACAUUUAAAUAGAAGCAAGUUGGAAAUUAAAAAAAAAUGAACCAUUGAGAGAAUGAAAAACAAACAAAAAAAAAGUUAAAAAAUUGUAUCUCAAUAAAUUUACUUGAGGGCUACUCUACUGAUCUGUGAAGAGAAAACACAAAGAAUAAUGAUGUAUCUCAAUUAAUAGGACAAUUUUUGUAUUUUUCGUUUAUUCAAGAAUCACGAAACUUCAUUUAAACUUGUUAUUUCAUUGAUAAUAUAUUAACAUUGAACAAUGUAGGGGACAUUCCUUUCCAAUUAUGCCCAUAUAUUAACUAAAGGCCACCAAAAAGUUCAGGGAUACUAUAGUAAUUUAAGUCAACAAUUACUAUGCUUGAAAUCAGCCAAUCAAACUCACUUUAGAAUAAACUGAGAAAUCAAAAUCACAUUCUCCAAUUCUACGAUUUCAAUUCAUCUUCUUUCUUCAACUGAAGAAUUGGUUGUAUCUCGUUUAGAUAAAUAUAAAAUAUAAAUGAUGAGGAGACUAGAAAAGUAAAAUCAAAAGAAGAGCACGAGUUUUGUUGAAAAUGACUCUUUUUCAUCAUUGUGCCGGAGUGAAUGUAUCUACAUAUAAACUAAAGAAGCACAUUUGUUUGUAUUAGCUUUUUUAUUGUAUUUUUAAUAAUAAGUCAUUUUUCAAUGAACUUAUAUCAAUUUUUAUGAAAAUAAUAUGUGUUAGUUAGUUGAUUCAAAUGGCAAAACCUCUUGGGAUAGAGCUUGUAAUUUAUUGGCUCAUGAAUUGUCUAAAUUGACACUACCGAAGCCAAAUUAUUGUAUUUGGUUAAAAAAGCUCCUGCUCAGCUUCAACUUUAUUAUUCUAUGAUGUUUGUUAAUAAAUAACAAUUUUAUUGAAAAAAAAAGACCCCUUGAACUUAUACAAAAGAUUUGGGAUCUGAAUCUGACUUGAAUUUAGCUUGAGGUUGACAUUGUUAGCAUAAUAAUUGAAGAUAGAUUUUUUUAAAUUAAAAAUCAAAAGAUAUAUAUAUUUUUUUGGUUCACACUAGUUAGUUUUAACUCAUAGUGAGAUUUAAACAGAAGCAAAAUAAUAAAUCUUAACAUCCUGACUCAUGGAUAACAUUUACAUAAGAUAGUAAAAUCUAUUAUGUCCAAAAUAAGAGGUGUGAAGUUUGAAUUUUGCUCACAUAGGUAGUAAGAGAAUCAAAUUAUUGUUAGAUUAAAUUAAUUAAAAAAAUUAUCUGAUAUCCAAAACAGCGUAUCAACAAAAUUGAAAUAAAAGAAAAUUGAAGAGAAAAACCAUUGAGAGAACGAAAAAUUAACACAAGAUAAAUUCGAUAACUAAUUGUAUCAGUGUGCGCUAACUUCACUUAUUAAAACUUGGUUAUUUCAUUUUCAUUGAUAAUCAUUUUGACAACGAUUUUUCUUUCCAAGUAUGCCCAUGAACUAAUAAGAGAACUGCCGAAAGGGUUCGGGGAUAAUAUGGUAAUUUAAAUUAACAUUUCCUGUGCUUCAAAUCAUCAAAUCAAACUCACACUUCACAACAACAGAGAAAUCAAACUCACGGUUUCUCUCAUUUUUAAUUUAUUAUAUAAAGAUAAAUAUAUAAAAUUAAAUGGCGAGAAGACCGGACGAGGAAUACGAUUACUUGUUCAAAGUGGUAUUAAUCUAAAAACAAUAAUAUUAAAUAAAACACCUGGGAGUCGUAAUGGAAAGAAGAAUACAAUAUAUGAAACUUAUAAUGUUAUUUUUACUAUAUUAUAUUGAUACUUUGUUUUGUUAAUCAUAUAAGUCAAUCAGUAAUUAUUUAAUCAUUGGAAUUAAAACUAAUGUAUUAAUUAAAAUUCAAAAUCUAUUAUAAAAAUAGUAAAUAUUAAUAUAAAGAGAUGGACCUAUUACAAAAUACAUUCACCAAAAGUUCUAUUAUACUUAAAAUUCUCAUUCACAAAAAAAAAAAAAAAAAUAGUUGAAUACAUGUACAAAAAAAGGGGAUAAAUAAAAAAUAAUAAUAAUAAAUAAUAAAAGGAUAGUUUAUAUAAUAAAAAAUAAAUUUAUUGAAUAGAGAUGUUAAUAAUAAAGAAUAAUAGCCUAAUCAAACUCACUUUAGAAUAAACUGAGAAAUCAAAAUCACAUUCUUCGAUUCUACAAUUGAAUCUUUUUCAUCAUUUUGUUGGAGUGAAUGUAUCUACAUAUAUUGGGGACCAUAAUGGAAACCGGUAGAACCUACAAGGGCUAAAAUCAAAACAACGAACGAUAUCUCAAGGUCGCCGAAACGUAAAUAAUUAAUCUUAUCUUUCAAUUGAUUUUUGUGGAGCCAGAGACAAUUAAACCCGAACAGCAAAUAGCCAUAAAUGAUAGGACAAUUAAAUUGGAACUCUUCACAGACCCACGAUUUAAUAUCUUUAGAUUGUAACGGUUUAACCCAAAAAAAAAAUAGUAAAAUAUUUCUUAAAAAAAUGAAAAAAAAAUGUUGAAAAGAAGAACAAAAUUCUGGUCCACGUGUCAUUUCAAAAUAGGUUGCUGGCAUAAACAACCGGCCCCAUCCCGGACAGAUGUUAUUUGAGUGGUUGGUACGCAUUUCCACUUUUUUGUUUUAGAUGCAACGACUCAUGCACUAAAUAUAUAUAUAUAUAGGGAAUCCCUAUCUUACAUGCAUGUAAAAUAUAUUUUUCUCAUAUAAAUAAUAUAUGUGUAGAAUUCACGUACUGUUUAUGUAAGAGAGAUGUAUCUUACAUACAUGUAAGAUAUGAGGAUUCAUGAAUAUAAUGUUAUUAGUUUAAAUAAUGGGUGCAACUCAUGUUUUUGAAACAUUAAGAUCUUUAGCCAUUCUCUUACUAUCCCGUGGUUAUUUAAGUUACAAGAGACAGUAAAACAACAACGUCAUAUUUUAAUUACUUACACUAAAUAAAUUACUCACACUGAUGCCGCGACUGCCGCUUGCUUUUUUUCUUUUUUUUGCCCUUUUAAUUUUGACUUUUGCUUUUACUUUUUGAUUUUUGCUUUUGGUUUAUAAUAAUAAUAACUACUUUUUAAUUUAAUAUAAUAUUAAAUAAUAUUUUUAUUUUUAAUUUUACAUUAUAAUUAUUAAUAUAUAAUUUAUUAUUUAAUAUUAUUAUAUUAUGUUUUUUAUUUUUACAUUAUAAUUUAUAAAUAAAUUUAUAAUUUAUUAUAACUAAUAAUAAAUAUUUAAAUUUGAAUAAAUUUGAAUAAUAUUAAUUUAAAAUUAAUAAUAAUAUAAAAUAUUAAUACAAUUUAAAUAUAAUAUAAUAUUUAAUUUGAAUUAAUCACAAAAAAUUAAUAUAAUACAGUGUAGCACCAAACAUUGUACAUUAUUAUUAUAAUACAGUACUAAUACAACGCAACAUAAUACAAUACACCAACAUUAAAAUAAUACAAUCUAAUAUAAUACAAUACAGUGUGCGAAAUGCACCGACAUGGUAUUACUUUGUUUGUCUUGUUACUUACAGUUAUUUAAUCUGUAGACCCACUCAUGCUCCUUCUAUGUAACAUAGAUACAAUUUGAGGAAGAUUAUCAAUUUUUUUAUUAAAAAUAAUAUAUACCACUUAUUUUUUAUUAUUUUUAUAAUGUUCAACAAUUCGCUUGAGAUCAAAAAAUUAAAUGAAAAGAAGGAGUAAAUAGAUGAUUUACUUGAUGUUGUAUCUUAGAAAUAUAAAAUAUAUUUAUUUAUUAUUAAAAAUAUUUAAAAAUAAUAAAGAGUAUAUAAAAAGUAUCUUAUCCUCAACAACAAGAUCAGACGACGUCAAUUCAGCAAAAUGACUUGAAUAACUUGAACGUCCAGCAACGGUCACCUCUUGGCGCACACAUGGCAACGUGCGUAGCUUUGGCAAGAGGUCUCCCAAAAGGACGAUUAAGAAAAGAUUGCAGGACAAAUCAUGAAAAUAGUAGUACAGAUAUGCAAUGGCUAAAUUUCCUCGAUUAAGUCCAUCGCAAUCAAGUCUUAGAAAUCACACCCCUGUAUUAAUUUCCAGAAAUAUGUUUGUUCCAUAUUUAUCGUGCACGUAUAUAUUGUAUGUAUUGGGAAUAGAAAGAGUGUAUGUAAAAAAUUCUUCAUUCAUCGAUUAAAACUUAAUUUAUGUACGAGGGUUAAGUGUAGUGUUUUUAAAUUUAAAAAGGACAAGUGUCAAUCCACUGAGGCUUGACUCAAUGGCUAGAGCCACACUCCCUCACAAAGUGGUUCGAUCUCCCACAGAUGUAUUAUAGAAGUUUAAUUUAAAUUUUUUUUCUCAAAUUUUGAGUGAAGACAGUCUUUCUCCCCUAAAUAGAGUUUUUCUAAAAAUUUAAUGUUCUUCGAAUAUUUGAGAUGAUUAAAAUUUGAGCGGUGCUAUAUAAAAUAUAAUGUAAACUAAUCUAAAUAAUUAUAUAAUUAUAAAUAUAAUGAACAAUAGUCUCAUACAAAAAAAUGACAAGUGUAGUAAGCCCAUUUAAAUUAACUUAUAUUUGAGGGGAAAAUCUCUGUAUAUCAUAGUAUAUAUUAUAUAUCCAGUCGUGGGACCCAUACAUGGUUCCAUGUAAUUCGCACAGUUGAACUGGAGACACUGAUUAGUUCGUUGUCUAUUUGCCAACUUAUGUACAACUAAGUAAUUUCAUGCACCAUUUGCGCCUUAUCUAUCCAUCCUGCUUGCAUUGCAUUUUACUAAACAUACAAUGAAAUUAACCCUUGUAAUUUCGGCCUUUGCCAUAGUCGUUUUGUUUAUUAGGUUUAUGUUUAUCAACAUGAUAUGUUGUCAACCAUAAUCACAAUCAAGUUGUUAAUUAUUUUUUAAAUAAUGUGAAGGAACAAGAUUUUGGUCUUUGACUGUGGAGUUAAAAAUAUCUCACCUCAACAUACGGUGUUGUGCUCUCAUCAUCUUAACAUUAUUUGUUAAAAAUUAUGUCAAAGAGGAAAGCAGAUUCAAACAUUACUUCAAUUUUCUUUAAGAGCAUAAAAAAAUCGUUAAUAGGCUACUGUUAUUUGUUAGUACGAUUUCACAGAAGGAGGCUAGAGGAAGAUGAAGCUUUCACGUCAUGUGUGCAUCAAAGUAAGAAACAGAGCUAACGAGAGAUGGACAAGUAUUAACCACUGUUAUCAGAAAUUAAAUAUAUCAGCAUUUUGUUAGUUCUGGCCAUAUUGGAACUAUUAGCACCCUAAUUUUCUUUUGAAGCUCCUUUUCUGUCGAAACCUAUUUUAAUUUCCAAAAUAUUUUUUUUUCAUUUUUUUAGUUUCUUUCUGAUAAAAAAAAAAUCAGUUUCUUAAACAACUCCAACUACAAAUAUUGUUUUACAAAUUUUUGAAUUAUUAAAUCAUAUGUGUGUGUAUAAAUUGAAUAGAAUUAAAAAAGUGGACUCAAAUGGGUAUUGUGUAAUUUUUUUUAUAAUUAAAGAAAAGUUUAGAAUGCAAAAGAGUGUGAGAAAACAAAAAAUAUAAAUCACCUUUGAUGUAGUUGUAUGGUUGUAAAGAGUUAGAUGGAGAAAUAUAGUAUAUAAUUAAAUUUAUUUUGUUCUUUAAAACGGAUAGGUUUUAUACGAAUUUUUCAGAGGAGUGCCAAUAUUUCAACUCUAUCAUUGCUAUUAGUUUGUCUUGUAAUUCAAUCAUUGCCGACAAGUAUUAAUUGUGACUAUUAUUAUUAUUAUCGUCGUUAUUCUUAACAGCAAUGACUAGAAUUAUAAUAAUAACAAUAACAAUAACAAUAACAAUAACAAUAACGUCAAUACAAUAAUAUGGGUCCGCCUAUGUUGCCACUUAUGUAUGUUGCUACAGCUUUUGUCUUUUGUGAUCAGUUAUUGUAACAUCUCAUUGAGUCCCUUACACUCUAUUUUAUUUACAAUUUAUUUAUAAGUAUUAUGAUUUUUUUAUUUACCUACACUUUUAAAAUUUAAAUUUUCACUUCACACUAUUUUUUAUUUACCAUUUUUUAUAAGUAUUAAAGGAGUUUUCGUUUUCAACCACAAAACAAUAAUCAUCAUAACACAUUAUUAUCAAUAAAAAAAAUAAAAUACCCUUAAAUUAGUACUAAAAGAAACUCUUUUCUCUCUUGGAGGAAUCACAAUAGCUCAUCUUCCAUCACUUAUCAUCAAUAAAAUUUUCAAGGAUAUAAUCAAUCAUCUUCUUUACUAUAUCAUCUCAUAAUAAUUAAGACUUUAAUGAUAAAAGAAUUAACAAAAUAAAAAAAAAUUUCCCGUGAAUCCAUCCCUCUCCACUAUCAAUUUCUCUUCAUCAGCAACUUUUAUCAACAAUUGAAGCCACUAUUAGAACUCACCACAAAGAGAGAGUAUGGGAGGGGAAGAAGAAACGGGUAAAAAUAUAUGAAAUGUUUUCAAUUUUAUGAUACGUUUACUAAAUAAGAAUCAUAAUUAGAUAGAAUCAUAGUAAGUUGAAAUUAAAAUGAGCAGGAAUCAAAAUAAGAAAUUGUAAUUAGAAUAAAUUAUUUAUUUGAACUAUAGAAAUAGUAAUUGGAAUAAGCUAUAUUACAAUUAAUGUAUUUACUUUGUUUUAAAAUCAUAAUCGAAAUAAGUUAAGUUGUAACAAACUACCAUAAAGUACUUAAUUAAUUAUUAUCAUAAUUAUUACUUUGUAUUUUAAUUAUUGUGAUUAUUAUUAUUAAAAAAUUUAAUAAUUAUUGCUAACUAUUAUUAUUAACAAUAUAACUCAAAAAUUAUUAGUUAUUGUUAAUAUAUUAAUUAAUUAUAAAACUUUUAUCAUUAAUAAUAAUAAUAAUAAUCCAUUUAAAUAAUAAUAUUAAUUAUUAAUUAUUGUUAAUAUAUUAAUUAAUUAUAAAACUUUCAUCGUUAAUAAUAAUAAUCUAUUUAAAUAAUAAUAAUUAUUAAUUAUUGUUAAUAUAUUAAUUAAUUAUAAGCUUUUAUCGUUAAUAGUAAUAAUAAUAAUAAUCCAUUUAAGAAAAUAACAAUAAUAAUAAAAAAAUUGUCAUCAUCAUCAACGGCAACAAAAAAUGGGAAUCGGUGGCGGCAUCAUCAUCCACAACGUCGGCAUCAUCAUCAUCAUCUUGAAGACGGUCGGUAAAGACGAAGACGACGACGAGAAGGAGAGGUGGAGAUUUGCUCUUUGAAGAUGGUGAUGAGGUCGUUACCUGCAGGGGACUAAAUCAUGGACGGUGAAGACCAAUGACAACCAGCGAGCUAGAACCGAUCCUAGUGCUGUGCUUCUUCUUGGAUGCAACUAAAAAAUUCUUCCUCUUGGCUGCGAUGGAGGGUCGAAACGUUGGAUGUGUUUGUUAUUUUUUUAAUUUUGCUGGCUGUGUUUUCUAAUUAACUGUGGCGUAUUUUGAGAAUUUAAAAAGCUUGAAGGAGUAAAUUUGGUACUUUUAGGGGCUCAAUCAAAUAAAAUAGAGUGCAAAGGGUUCCAUGAAAUUUUAGAAUAAUUAAGUCACAAAAGACAAAAGCUGUUGUAACGUACAACAGUGGCAACAUAGGCGGACCCCAAUAAUAUAACAACAUAAUAAUAUUUUAAUUGGGGUCUUCCACCUGGGUAUGCAUGAUUCCUUGUGACAUGUGCCAAUUAAAUUCUGACAUACGUGCAAUAAAGACUGUAAAGUGACCGGUUAUUCCGAUUGAAUUCACAAGAGCUCUUGUUUGUGUGUUUGUGUUCCAAGUUGUGUACUCUGUGUUACGAGUUCUCUAAUUAAUCUGAUAUUAUCGCAACUGUUGCUCAAUAAUGUUACAUGCAUUAUAAUAUAUGUCACUGGUACGGUCGCUGUCUCAAGUGGUAAACAUUAAGGCACAAAUUUAGAAUGAAAAGUUUCCCAGUAAAAUAAGUUAUUUAAUUAAUUAAAUAAGAAUAAAAUGAAUUUGUGAAAGAAAUUUAAAUUUAAUUUUGAAUUAUUUUGACCAAAAUUUAAGUUUCUUUUUAAUUUGUUUAAGAAAGUGCGUUGUAAUUAUCUUGUUUUAAUUGGAAAAUCAAUGAAAAAAUUAUGUAACAGGAAACAAAAAAAAAAAAAACAAAACAAAACGGUUUGUUUUGGAUGGAGGCCAUAGAUUCCAAUAUUUCCUUCACGAAAACUACAAAAAAUUAUCAAAGGCAUCAAUUUCUACACUCUCACCGAGCAAAUACUCUCAACCCAGAAGAAAGUGUAUAAACCAACCCCAAUUAGUCCAUCAAUGUCGUCAACCUCAUACAACACAAAAAAAUAUGUGUCCAUUAAACCGCCAUCUUGCCAUCUCGUUGUAGUAUUUUGCUGUUCAAAUCUAGUUAUUAAUUGGGGAAAAUGGGGACCAAUCUGCAAGUCUUUAAAAUAGAAAGAAACUUUAAUUGAGCACUAUGUUCACAGUGGUGGACCCAGCGGCAGUAAUCUUUAAGGUGGAGCUAUUUAUACUUUAAAAAUUAUUUUAAACACUCUAAUUUUAAUAAGAAUAUGUAUUGCAAAAAUACUUAUCAUAUAAGUUACUGUUAAGGACAAUAUAUUAUAAGUCAACAUUAUAUAAUUACUUUGAACACUUAUAUAGCACAAUCCUUAUUCAAUUUAUUAUUCUCAUGACUUAAAUAUAAAAAAUUUUAUUUUCAACAUCUUAAUUAAUAUGUAGGUGAAUAAUAAGGAAAUUAACUUUGAGAAAAAAAAUUAAAUACAAAAUAUGUGUAAUACUUUUAAAAAAUAAAAUAAAACAACAGUAUUGCACAAGAUUUUUUUUUGGGGGGGGGGGGGGGGGCUUUGGCCAUUCUUCUUCUUCUCCUUCUCUCUCUCUCUUUUUUUUGGGUAGUAUUUAUGGAACAUUUUCUAUAGUUAUGUUCUCAUCGCAAGUUAUUUUGGGUGCAAAAUUCAAUAUUGAAAAUAAAUUAAAUAAAAAAUUAGUAACUAAAAUUAUGUUAAAUUAUUUUUUUACAACUUAAUUUUUAAUUAUAUUAUUGUGAGUAUAUGCUAAAUCUCUUAAAAAUAGAGUGUUGAAUAAUUUUAUUAGUUUUUUAAAUAAAUAAAGCUAAGUAACUUAAAAAGUUUAAGUAAGGAUAUUUUUGAAUUUUAAACAGUGUACAAAGUAAAAUUUAAUUUUUUUUAUAAUUAAGCUACGAGCGUGUAAAUUAAUAGAGUGCUCAAAAUAAUAUUUAGAGUGCUAAUAGUCAUAUCCUAAUAUUUAUCAUCACAUUAUUUUCCAUAAAAAGUUUACAACUACCUCUUUAUUGGAUAAUUUUGUUCCCUCUCUUACCUUAUGUUCCCCUACAUUCUCAUUUCUGCAUCACUAUUUAAAUUGUAAUCAUAACGUUAAUCUUUCGUGUCCUUUCGUUUUUUUCGAGUUUACUUUUGCUUUUUUUUUUUUUUACGUUUCUCCGGAAUUCACUUCAACAUCACUGGCGCGUUUUCUUCUUUCUCACUGCAACAUCAACUGGGCCACCACCUCUUGCCUCAAUAUACGUUGUGAUCUCAUCAUCUUGACAUUAUUUGUUAAAAAUUAUGUCAAAGAGGGAAAGCAUAUUCAAACAUUACUUCAAUUUUCUUUAAGAGCAUAAAAAAAUCGUUAAUAGGCUACUGUUAUUUGUUAGUACGAUUUCACAAAAGGAAGCUAGAGGAAGAUGAAGCUUUCAAGUCAUGUGUGCAUCAAAGUAAGAAACAGAGCUAAUGGGAAAUUUUCAUAAGAGUGCCAAUAUUUCAACUCUUUUUCAAAUGAAGUGAUGUCCUGGAAUAAAGGACUUGACUAGCUUACAGAUUCUGUAAGCUACAGACUGCAGCAUCAGCCGUUGGAUGUGGAGUGAGAAACUAAACAAUAGAAAAUCGGAUGGUGGGAUGACGGGAGAUGUUUGUUACAGAAUCUGUACCAUAGACAGGUCCUGGAAUAAAAUCACUACUCUAUCAUUGCUAUUAGUUUGUCUUGUAAUUCAAUCAUUGCCGACAAGUAUUAAUUGUGAAUAUUAUUAUUUUAAAAAUAUUAUUAUUAUUAUCGUCGUUAUUCUUAACAGCAAUGACUAGAAUUAUAAUAAUAACAAUAACGUUAAUACAAUAAUAUUACAACAUAAUAAUAUUUUAAUUGAGAGGAUAAGAAUGAAAUUAUGAAAUUUAGGUUGGGUAAAAAUGGUGAGUAUGAGGAAAUUAAUUUACCAUUUUUUAAGCUAAACAAUUUAUAAAUUCCACAUAUUUCAUUUUUAUUUCUCUUAUAUUUUAACAAAUAAACACUAUCAAUCGUUUUAAUAUUUUAAUUAAUAAACACGGCAUUAACUACGGAACUAAAAGAUCCCCCCAAAAAAAAAAAAACAGAGACGCGUGUAUGUAUUGCUUGUGACAAAUCUCACCCAUGGAAAACUUUGUGAAAGGCAUUUGAAUGUGUGGCCACAUUUAAUGAACGAAACGUUAACUUUAAAAGAAAGUAUGUACUGUGUUAAUUAUUAGGAUUACCCAAUAACCCGCUUAAUAUCUAUAUAUUAAACAAAAGUUACAUUAAAUAUUUAUACUUUGUCAUACAUAUGUAUGCACAUACAUACAUACAUACAUACAUACAUCCAAACAUACAUACAUAAUUUAUCAAUAUUAUAAAAUAUACAUAUCUACUAAAAUAUUACACACACUAUUGAGGUUUUAAUUAUAUGUAUGUAAAUAAUAUUAUAUAUCAAUAUUAUAAAAUAUACAUGUCUACCAAUAUUUUAUACAUUUACGCUAUUAAAGCUCUAAAUGUAUUUAAAAUUUUAUAAAUAAAAUAUUGUGUCUAUAUUCAUCUUUUUAAAGAAUUAAAAAAAUCAUCUCUAAUAUUUGAGUUUUGAUGACAAGAAUCUGUAAAUUAUUUUAAAAUAGAAAAUAUAAUCGGGUCAUUGAUCGGGUAAAUGGGUCAAGAAUUUUAACCCUAAUCCGACACGAAAAAAAAUCGUGUUGACCCGGACCCGACCCAUUUAAUAAUCGUGUUAAAUUCGAUGACCCAUACUUAUUUAUUGGUGUCAUGUUCGUAUCGAGUAAUCGGAUCGUGUCAAAUUUUACCAGCUCUAACUAUAGUGAUUCCACUUAAAAAUGAAAGGGGAGGCGACGAAAAGGUGAUAAAAAGCGGUAUUGUGUUCUUUUUUUUUUUAAUAUAAAUUUACUGGAAUGAUGAAAUAUUUAAUUGAAUAAUAUUAAAAAAGAGAAAAGGAGAGAGAAUUUUGAGCUCUCUCUACCGAGCCCACUCCCUCUCUUCUUUUUCAACGCAUUUUCUCUCGUCUUUAUCUCUCUUUAGCAUUUUUCUAUUUAAUUACGUGAAAUUGACUCUAAGAUAGACCGACGUUUGCUUUCAUAAUGGAAAGUAGAAAGUCGAAAAGAAACCACCCAUGCCAUGCGUGUGGACCAUUACUCUCAUUUGGAGGCUAUCAUAAGUGAGCAAGUACAAAUUAUGUUACUGUGGGGUCUCACUUAAAUGAACUCAUCCAUCGUGCGCUGGUCCAAUCCUUGGCAACAUCCCAUGUGACUUUUUCGGUUUUCCCCCCACUUUUCUUCACAAGGGUAGUUCCGAAUUUUCACUUCCCCUCAAUUCCAAUUCAGUGGCGAAAUUAGAUUUUCAUUUCAAGUUUUCAACCCAGGGCCAAGCUAUAAUAAUAUACUUCAAUAAUUUGUAUUCGUCGGAAGUUCGGAACCAAUGCUAAACUUUUUUAGUUAUAUAUAUAUAUAUAUAUAUAUUGUAAGAGGCUAAUAUGAACAUUACUAUUGUUAUAAGAGUAUAGAAAACGACGAAUAUUACUUAUUUUUUUUGUAGUUAAUAAGAAUUAUUUAAAAUUAUCCAAGCUCAAAAUUUAGAAUCAUGAGAGUGUGACUUGUAAGUUUCAAAGAAGCAUGUGUAAAUAUAUGCAUUAUCGAUGCCCAAUUAAGGGUGGGCAUUAAGAUCGGGUUAACCCGAACCGAACUUAAAAUUUAUUUUGGAUUCAAUUUGGUUAUGGUUGAAGCUUUCAACUGAGUUCAAAACUUAAAAAUGAUUGGGUUGUAUUUCUGUUCGAAUUUAACCCCAAAAGACUAAUCAAUCCAAUCGAGUUAAGUAAGCAAAUUAAGAAAAAAAAUCCCAAAAAUUAAAACUAACCCUAACUAAAAUAUUCGACGGCGGCCUCCUCGUUUUCUUUUCUUCUUCCUCCUCUCGCUCACCCCUAAUGCCCUUCAUGGAAAUCCAACAGCUCCAAACGCGUUUCAGCCGCUCGCACGUGUGAGAAAUUUUCCUUCUCAUAGGGUUAUUCGUUUCCUUCGUUUGCAUGCUAGCAGAAAAUUCAGGCCGAGGAUUUUUCCGGGCCUAGCCCAACUAUAAGCUCUCCCAAAACCCAAUCAUAAGUUCAAAACGUUUAGCGUUUGCUAUUACUAUAAUUUUUUUAACCAAUUUUCACAUUCAUCAACAUAGGCUGACAGAUUUUGUAGAAAAUAAAAUUAAAUAAAAAUACAAGCUCGCGAAAUUCCUUUGCCGAGCAUGAGUGAAGAAAAAUUAAAAAUAAAUAAUUUCCCAUUAAUUUGCAACAAGUAGUAAUAAAGUAAAUAACUCUUUUCAUCAUUUUGCCAGAGCGAAUGUAUCUACAUAUAAACUAAAGAAGCACAUUUGUUUGUAUUAGCUUUUUUAUUGUAUUUUUAAUAAUAAGUCAUUUGUCAAUGGACUUAUAUCAAUUUUUACGAAAAUAAUAGGUGUUAGUUAGAUUAUUCAAAUGGCAAAACCUCUUGGGAUAGAGCUUGUAAUGUAGUGGCUCAUGAAUUGUCUAAAUUGACACUACCGAAUUAUUGUAUUUGGUUAAAAAAGCUCCUACUCUGCUUCAACUUUAGUAUCCUAUGAUGUUUAUUAAUAAAUAACAAUUUUAUUGAAAAAAAGACCUCUUGAAAUGAUACAAAAGAUUUGGGAUAUGAAUCUCACUCGAAUUUAGCUUGAGGUUGGCAUUGUUAGCAUAAUAUUUGAAGAUAGAUUUUUUUUAAAUUAAAAAUCAAAAGAUUUUUUUUUUUUUGGGGUUCAUACUAGUUAGUUUUAACUCAUAGUGAGAUUUAAACAAAAACGGAAUAAUAAAUCUUGAUAUCCUGACUCAUGGAUAACGUAUAGAUAAGAUAGUAAAAUUUAUUGUGUCGAAAAUAAGAGGUCUGAAGUUUGAAUUUCGCUCACAUAGGUAGUAAGAGAAUCAAAUUAUUGAUAGAUUAAAUUAAUUAAAAAAAUUUCUGAUAUCCAAAACAACAUAUCAACAAAAUUGAAAUAAAAGAAAAUUGAAGAGAAAAACCAUUGAGAGAACGAAAAAUUAACACAAGAAAAUUUCUGUAACUAAUUGUAUCAGUGUGCGCCAACUUCACUUAUUAAAACAUGGUUAUUUCAUUUUCAUGGAUAAUCAUUUUGACACCGGUCAAAUUUAAAAGUUUUAAAAAAUAUGGGCGAUUUUUCUUUCCAGCUAUUCCCAUUAACUAAUAAAAGAACCGUCGAAAGGGUUCGGGGAUAAUAUAGUAAUUUAAACUAACAGUUUCUGUGCUUCAAAUUUAUAUAUAUAUAUAAAGUUGUGAUUACAAGAGGUGAUGUGGCAUCACUAUUUCUCAUCUUCUCAUAUUCUCUAUUAUCUAAUAAAUUGGUUGAAAUUAAAAAAUAAUUACAUUACAAAAUAUUAAAAAUAGAAAAUAAUUAUUAGAUUAUAAAUGAUUACAUGUCUUUUCAUCUUUCUAUUUAAAUUCAACAAUAUGUAACCAUUAAUAAUAAUUAAUUAUAAGUCUUAAAACAUUCAUUUAUUUUAUUAUGCCAACAAUUAAAUUUUAGUGGCUUAAAAUACAUCAAUUAAUUAAUAUAGGAAGGAAGAGAGGUUCUUUCAUCUUCCCUCAAUAAUGCCACUAGGGUCUAAGUUUAAUUUUAAUAAUUUUAAUGUCUCUUCCUCUUUCUAUUUAAAUCCAACAAUGUGUAACCAUUAAUAAUAAUUAAUUAUAAGUCUUUUGAAACAUUCAUUUAUUUUAUUAUGCUAGCAAUUAAACUUUAGUGGCUUAAAAUACAUCAAUUAAUUAACAUAGGAAAAGAGGUUCUUUCAUCUUCCUUCAACAAUCCUAAUUUUAAUGCCAUAAUCCCAUAUUUAAUUAUGCAAUCUUUUAUUUAGUGCUUUUUGACUUCUUCAAAUUUUAUUAUGCUAGCAAUUAAACUUUAGUGGCUUAAAAUACAUUAAUUAAUUAACAUAGGAAGAUAAGUUCUUUUAUCUUCCCUCAACAAUGCCACUAGGGCCUAAUUCUUCUUAUUCUAAAUUUAAAUUUCAUUUGCUUGCUAUCAUCAGCAACACAAGUCAAUUAUGAUGCAACUGCCAUUAUAAUUAAUGGAGAACGACGAGUUAUCUUCUCUGGUGCAGUUCACUAUAUCCUCGCAGCACUCCACAAGUACUACAUGCAAAUAAUUAAUUUACAAUUUCUGAAAUCACUUGCACUUUCACAUUUUCUUCUUCUUUUAACCAAAAAAAAAAAAGGCUACUUUGCUGCGAAAAUAUUAUCUUAAUUUUUUUUCCUAACAAGCCAAACAUGAUCCCACAUUCAAAACGGUGCGCUUUCAUGUUUAGGAAAAAUCAUGGGCAAUAUUUUUGGAUCAAAUAGCAUUGUUAUUUUUUAAAUAUGCAAAUUUUGAUAUGAUUUAUUUCUAUAUGCGUUGUAUUUGUGCAGAUGUGGCCAGAUCUUAUACAGAAGGCAAAGGGUGGACGGCUCGAUGCAAUUGAAACUUAUAUUUUGUGGAAUGCUCAUGAGUCUCAGCGUCGCCAGGUGUCAACUAUUAUUAUUAUUAUUAUGUGCGAUAUUUAUUAUUAUUGAAAUAGACAUACAAAAUUAAUUUAUUUAAUCUUUCUUUUAAGAAGAGAUCAGUACGAUUUCUCAAGAAAUUUAAAUUUUAUCAAAUUUUUAAUUUUUAAUUUGAUAUUUUCAAAGCCGCGCUAAGCGCGGUUAUAUUUUCUAAUCAUCAAAUCAAACUCACACCUCACAAAAGCAGAGAAAUCAAACGGUUUCCGACUUUACGCUUUAAAUUCAGCUUCAUUUCUUCAACUGAAGAAUCGGUCGUCUCUCAUUUUUUAUUUAUUAUAUAAAGAGAAAUAUAUAAAUUUAAAUGGCGAGAAGAGCGGACGAGGAAUACGAUUACUUGUUCAAAGUGGUAUUAAUCGGCGAUUCGGGAGUCGGCAAAUCGAACUUACUCUCCCGAUUUUCUGGUAACGAGUUCUGUUUGGAGUCCAAAUCCACUAUUGGCGUCGAAUUCACCACCCGCACUCUUCAAGUAACUAACUUUUCCUCUUUCACUUCUCUUCAUUUUUAUUAGUUAAUUAAGAUCCAGUUAAUGUAAUUAAUUUUAUUUAAUCUUUUAAUUAAAGUUCUAGAUUAGGCUAACUUAGAUUCAUGUCAAGUUGAAGUGCUUUACUUUCGAUCUCUUUUUCGUCCUAUGUUUAUUUGUACUUACUAUUACUUUGUUUUUGGGUUUAAAUUUUCGUUUUUGAAGUGUUUACUGAAUAAAUUUCUGAGCUUUAUUUGUGUAUGAUAAUUGAUUUGUGAUUUUAAUUUUGUGACUUUUUUUUUUUUGGAAUUUAAAUUUGAAUGCUUUUUAAGUUGAAUCUGAAUGUGUUGGGCUGCAAUUUAAUUAAGUCAUCUGUGAGCGCCAAAUUGUGAUAGCUAUAUAUUGGGGUGAAAAUUUGGGAUUUAAAGUUAUGUAUUUAAGAUGCAGUUAAUUCGCAAGUGAAAAUUAUGGGCCGGCAGAUUUUGUCAUUGGAAGACUGUUCUCCACAUGUUGAAGUUGGAAGACUGUUCUCAUUGAAUUUAUGUUAAAAAGCUAUGCGCGCAUUAAGUUAGUGCGAGAAACUGCUGAAGCAUAUGUCAGCUGUGUGUUUGGAGCUGAGUAUUCUUCAUUCCAAAUUUUUGGUUUUGGUUGACCUCCACCAUGACUCAACCCACUUGAGUUAAAAUCCCUAGAGUUACAUUCUACCCAUGAUAUUUGAGAUCAGGUCACCGUAUUUUAAUACUUCUCUGGAAAACAAAUAAAUAUGUUAAAUCAGGUAGGAAAAAGAAAAAGUUAAUUAUUGAGUUGUAAUGGUGCAACUAAUGUUUUGAAAAGAUGGGGCACAGGUUACAAAAUUUUUUUGAGUUUUGGAUUAAAGGAACAAAAUUAUUGAUGUCUAGCUCACAAUACUUGAAGUCACUCUGUGCUUCAUCAUGUAAAAUGGAUUGAAUUGCUGUAAGAUCAGGUCAAAUUAAAAUGUUUAAACUCAUUUAUAAGAAAUGAAUUCUCAAUUGGACUAGUCUUUCACAGAAACUGAUAUCACAGAAGUUUUGAGUCAGAUGCAUCCAACCAAAGCCCCUGGCCCAAAUGGUCUCCCAGCAGUAUUUUUCCAAAAGCUUUGGAAUUCAGCAAGCAAAGGAGUUAUAGCCACUUGUCUGCAUAUCCUCAAUGAUGGAGGUAAUAUUGCUCCUUUGGAUCAUACAUACAUUGCUUUAAUUCCCAAAAUAGCAAAGCCUAGGACUGUGAUGGAGUAUAGACUAAUCAGCUUAUGUAAUGUAAUUUAUAAGAUCAUUGCAAAGACUAUAGUGAAUAGGGUGAAGCUAAUCUUAGAUCAUGUUAUUUCACCAACUCAAAGUGCUUUCAUGCCAAAUAGGCUCAUAACUAAUAAUAUAAUUAUUGGGUAUGUGUGUCUUUAUAAGAUUCAGCAUUGCAAAAACAAAAAGCAUGGUCUAGUGGCUUUGAAAUUAGACAUUAGCAAAGCAUAUGACAUAGUAGAGUGGGAGUUUGUAAGAUGCACUAUGGAAAGGUUGGGUUUUUCUCACAAAUGGGUGGAACUGGUCAUGAGAUGCAUAUCUGCACCAUCUUUUUCUAUGCUGAUCAAUGGGGUAGCAAAAGGCCUUAUCCAGCCUCAAAGAGGCUUAAGACAAGGCUGCCCACUCUCUCUAUAUUUGUUCAUUAUUUGUGCUGAGGUUUUCACAAAUAUUUUGAAGCAAGUUGAAUUGAACCAGCUGAUUCAUGGAUUAAAAUUCAAUAGGGACCUGCCUAUUACUCAUCUUCUGUUUGCAGAUGAUAGUUUGGUUUUCACAAGAGCCACUAAAGAAGAUUGUACGAACCUGAAGUAACUCUUUGAUUGUUAUGCUGCUGCCUCAGGCCAGAUUUUUAAUUUUGAAAAGUCCUCCAUGUUCUUCAGCGAUAAUCCCAAGCAAGAGCAGAUAGCUACAAUUAAGGAUAUAUUUCAACUUCAAGUGGUUUCAAGACAUGAAAGGUAUCUUGGACUACCUUCAAUGGUGGGAAGAAAUAAGACCAGCUUCUUAAACGAUAUCAAGCUUAGAAUUAUAAACAAAAUCUCCAAUUGGCAAGCAAAAUUUUUCUCAUGUGGAGGGAAGGAGAUACUCAUAAAGGUAGUAGCUCAAGCAGUGCCUGCUUACGCCAUGAGUAUUUUUAAACUUCCUUUAGGGCUAUGUGAGGAUAUACAGAAGGCCAUUGCUGGGUUUUGGUGGAGAAGUUCAAGGAAGCAUAUGUCUAUUCACUGGUCCAAGUGGGAAAGAAUGUGUCAAGCUAAGAAGAGGGUUGGCUUGGGUUUCUGAGACUUGUCUAGUUUCAACCAAGUGCUUGUGGCAAAACAGAGUUGGAGGAUCAUUCAAGCGCCAAAAUCUCUCAUAGCUAAGGUGAUGGAGGCAAGAUAUUUCAAACAUUCGGAUUUUAUGGAGGCACAAAUUGGCUCAAACCCUUCUUAUAUGUGGAGGAGCAUCCUGUGGGGGUGAGAUGUUAUUCAUAAGGGUCUUAGAUGAAGAAUCAGAGAUGGAAAGUAGGUGAAAGUGUAUCAAAGUGACUGGUUACCAAGACCUGUAACGUUCAAACCAAUAUCUCCUACAAGUCUCCCUUUGGAGACUAUGGUUUCAGAGUUGAUUGAUCAAGACCACUACUGGAAAGAUCUUGUAAUAAGACAACAUUUUCAUCAAGAAGAUGCUGCCCAGAUACUUAAGAUCCCUCUGCCAAGACAACCAAGACCAGACCAAGUUUUGUGGCAUUGCGACAAAAAGGGUUACUACUCAGUCAAGAGUGGGUAUCAACUAGCUCUACAAAUGAAGUUUCCAACCAAGCCUAGCAGUUCAUAGGAAGGCAAAAGUGCAUGGAACUCAAUUUGGUAUUUGUCAAUUCCAGAGAAAGUAAAGAUAUUUAUGUGGCUGGCUGCAUAUGACAUGCUGCCCACAGCAGAGAAUUUAUGGAAGAAAAUAAUAUUACAAGCCCCCUGGUGUCAGAGAUGCAGGAGUUAUGGAGAGUCUAUCUUCCACACAUUGUUUGAAAGUAAAGCCUUGCGGAAAAUUUGGAAGCUCACAUCUUUUAAAGAUAAAGUGAAAGCCCCAAAAUGUAAAGAUGUCCUAAGCUUGCUGUUGGCUUUGGCUGAUCGACGAAGCAAGACUGAAAUGGAGCUGAUAGUUGUUUUGUGCUGGAGCAUAUGGCACUCAAGGAAUCUUUUUAUUUUCAAAAGCAGAAAUGAAGAUUCCCAAUUAUCAGUAGUUGGAGCUGAGGCAAUUGUUAAGUCUUAUAAAAGAAUUCAAAUGCCACAGAUGCAAGCAAUAUCAGAUCAAAGUUCUGCAUCCCAGAAGUAUUGGAAGUGUCCCCCUGCAAGUUGGUUCAAGGUGAAUGUUGAUGCAGCUAUAAAGAUAGACCAACAAAGAGUAAGUCUGGGCAUUGUAAUCAAAAAUUCAGAAGGUAAACUUAUAGCAGCAACCUUAAAGCCAACGAAAUGGCUUGAUAAAGUGGAUCUGAAGCAACUAAGUUUGGGCUGGAAGUAGCUGAAAACGCUGGAUGGUUACCUUUGAUUGUUGAGAUUGAUUCACAGGUAGUAGUAGAUUUAGUCUUAGGUAGAAAAAUCACAAAGGCUGAGAUUUUUGGGUUUGUAUCCAAGGUCCAAGAGAUGAUGAAGAGAUUAAAACAUGUCAAGUUACAACACACACCAAGAACUUGUAAUGGUUUUACUCACACACUUGCUAAGUUAGUUUUAGACUAUUUUGAUUAUCUGAUUUUGUACUAUGGGUGAAUAACAUACCAGCCCAUCUUUUGUAUCUAUUCACAAAAUUGAAUGAUUGAAAAUGAUACUUUGAUUUCAAAAAAAAUAAAAUACAAAGAGCUAAUUAUAAAUACAUAAUCCAAGAAAACAGUAAUAAUAAUUUAUCUCGUAAACAAAAUUAAAUAAUAGCAAUAAUAAGUGGAUAAAGCUAAGUUCGAGAGGUGAGAUAGGAAAUUCUCCCGCACGACACAGCACAAACAAACUUUCCCUUUCAUUUUCUUUUCUCUUUCUCGCUAUCCAAACAGAGCAAAAGGACCGUCGCAAGAUUCUUCACUUCCAUCCAAAAUCACGAGCAACGAAUAGCGAGCCUCCCUGUUUCCUUCCUUUUUUUGAUAUUAACAUUGUUAACAUCUGCUCAUUUUCAUUUGACAAUACUUCAAUUUUUUUUUUUUUUGCCUUUUCAUAUUUUUUUGGUUGAAGCGAUUAUCUGUUCAAGCUGUUGCUUAUCGGAGACUCGUCAGUCGGAAAGUCCUGCCUGCUGCUCCGAUUUGCUGUCUGUUGACUUUUCCUUUCCAUUUUUAUUUUCUUUUUUUUUUAUAUUAAUUACUUUCUAUUUUAGCUUUUUGUUCUCUGAAUUUGUGUUAUUAAAAUGAUAAUUUAGAUGAUAAAUAAUUAUUAUUCUUGUAAAUUUCAGUUUUCAUUACAUUAAAUAAUGUAAUUUUUUUUUCAAUUUUUCAGGAUGAUUCUUAUGUCACAGCUACAUCAGUACCAUUGGAGUUGAUUUUGUAAGUCUCUCUUCUAUAUAUAUGUAAUUAUGUGUAUAAGUUAUAAUAUGAGUCUCUGUACGUGUAUGUAUGUAUGUGUAUGCAUAUGUGGAAAGAAAUGUUGGCAGACUUCGGCAUUUUACUUUUUUUUUUUUAAAGGGAAAUUAUCACCGGUAUACCCUUAAAUGUCACCGGUAUCAAACGUACUACAACACUUUUCGCUUAUAUCACUCGUAUACCCUAAGUUGACAAAAGAGUUCUGGCGUCCACCUUUCCGUUUACUACCGUUAAGAACUUAACAGAAUUUGAGCAAAAUGACUAUUUUACCCUUUAAACUAAAAUGAGGUAAAAAAACAAUUUUGCCUUGAAAAUUAAUGUAAAUUUUCAAUACACAAAAUUUUUUUAUUUUGUUAUUAACAAUACAUUUUUUUAUUAAAAAAAUAUGAAUUAUUAAUGGUAUAUAUUAUUAACAAUUAUCCAUAAAAAACUUCAUCUUAUACCAUAAAACAUUAUUAACAACAUAUUAUUUAUAAUUAUACAUAUUAUAACAUAAAAAAUUCAAGUUGGAUCUUGGAGGAGUAGAUCUUUAAUAAUUUAGGUUAAAUUUUGGAGGAGUAGAUUUGGUUGUAAAGUAGUUUUUUUUUUUUAGCAAUUAUUAACAAUUAUCUGAUAAAUGGGAUGACAUGUCAUUUUUAUCAAAAUAUAUCAUAUGACAUGUCGUUUUUUACUAUAUAAAUGGGAUGACAUGUCGUUUUUAAAAAAAGACUAGAUUACCCUUAUGAUGUCAGCGCUCGCAAACGGCAGUUAACGGAUCGGUGGACGGCAGAAGUGUUUUGUCAACUUAGGGUAUACGAGUGACACACUUGAAAAGUGUUGUAGCACGUUUGAUACUGGUGUCAUUUAAGGGUAUAUGACUGAUAAUUUCCCUUUUUUAAAUUUUGGCAGAAAAUAAGAACUGUGGAGCUGGAUGGGAAGACGAUCAAACUGCUGAUUGUGAGUCAAAAUUUCCUUUUAUCUUGUAUUGGGAGAAAUUCAAUUUGUCUUAUUUAGUGAAGGUUAUGUUCAAGAACCUUGCCUUAUUUUCUUUAUUUGAAGAGUGAUAAGUUGAAAUGAGUGUAUUUUUCUUAUAAACAUCAUUUAGGUAAUGUCUGAUGUUUGAUUGUUUUUCAUCUGUUUAGUGGGACGCUGCUGGACAGGAGCGAUUCAGGACUAUAACUAGCAGUUAUUACCGAGGAGCCCAUGGAAUCAUAGUAAGAAGCCUUCCUGCUUCUUGGUUUAAAUCAGAAAGUUUGUGAUUUACAUGUGACAUCUUAACAACGUUGUAUGUGUUUAUUAACUUAUUUUUCAUCUUUCAUUACGCAGUACAUUUUCCAAUAAAUCUGUAUACAAGAUGAUGUAGUCCAAGAAUGGGAGUGAUAAUAUGAUGCAAAUUGUCUAAUAAAUUCUUAUGACAUAUGAUGUUGUCGGAAGUAAAAGUCUUGCAAUGCUGUAUUCUCUUUUAAGAAAGAAUAAGUGGUAAUUUUGUUUUUCCAAUUUUUUAAUUGAGCAACUGUGUGAGAUUAAUUAAAUGUGUUGGGAUUUCAACAGAUUGUCUAUGAUGUAACGGAGAUGGAGAGCUUCAAUAAUGUCGAGCAGUGGUUGAAUAAGAUUGACAGAUACGCUAAUGACAGUGUAUGCAAGCUUCUAGUUGGGAACAAAUGCGAUUUAGUUGAGAACAAGGUUGUGGACACAUAGACAGCCAAGGUAUGUUCGUGAGUUCUGUCGCCUGAACUUUGAAUAUAAUUUUAAACUCUUCUCAAGUGCAUUUGCUUGAUAAGUUUCUGCAUACCCAGGACACUUAAACUUUGGACAGUCUGUAUCUCGAGCUGGAAUCUUUUUUGUCAAUACGACUUGUUAAAAUAAGGGUUAUUAUCGUUUGAAUCCUUCAAGAAUUGCAAUAAAUCUAAAGUCAAUUAAAAAUAUGAUUUCAUCAUUUUACUGUUAUAUCUAGACAAAAUCCAUUAUUUUACUACAUUUUAUUAGCACCGAUAGUUGACCUAUUGGCUGACUGAUAAAAUAUCAAUUUUGUACUUUAUAUUAAUUCUUUUUUGGUUAGAAAAUAACACACAAAGUAUUACAAUAUUAUAAAUUCAAAAUAGAAAGUAGUUACAAAUAAUUCCUAUUAGCCUAUGAAUAUAAUAUUUGAUACCUCUAUUUGUGUAAUUUUUUUUAAAGGGUGAAAUUGGUAUUUUCUUUGUACUAACGGAAAUGUAGUAAAAUGAUAAGUUUUGUAAAGAUAUAGUAGUAAAAUGAUAGACUAAAAUACUUCUGUAGUUGUUUGAUAUAUUGUAAUUCUUAAAGUAGUCAAUUGAUAAUAUCUCCUAAAAUAAGUGUUUGUAAUAUUUUCUCAUUUUAAUGCAACUGAUUGUUUAAUAAAAUUGUAUUUCUUUGUUAAUCUUUUAUCAUGUGCAUGCUCAGUGAGAAUUUGACUUACUAGCACACAAGUUUGACUCUUCAUGUAAAUGUCCCUUGUAUCAUAUCCUUCAGUGUUGAGUGUGUUUCCAAUAAAACUGAGUAGGGGAAUCCUUAAAUACCUUUUCCCUUUUUCCAAGGGCCGUGCCAAAUUGCUCUAAGUGAUUAUCAAUGGAUAAUGAAAAUAAAAUUUUUAUUAAAGCAAUUUUUUCCUUAAAUGGUGGCUAAUAGUACCCCUUUUUUGGAAAAGAAAGUCAAAACAUGCCCAAAGAGAAUCAUUUACUUUCCUCUAAUGUAUUUUCUAAUUUGUUUCGAGCCUUGAAUGUUAACCUCUGUAAUUCAAUUUGAAACUUGCCACCCUUAGUGCUUCACUCAAAUGGUUGGUUAGGGUGAGAUCUUUAUCAUUUUCCUGGUCUCUUUCCAAGGUUAUCUAAAGGGAUUUGGCAGUCUGAUUCUUUAGGGAAUAUCAUUGCAUAAGAUAUUGUUUGUCAAUGAAUAAUUUCUAUUAAUUAGUUAUCUAUAUAAAUUGGUAAAUUUUAACUGCAUAAUUUGCAUGCAAUAAGAUUUUAUAAGAAUCUUGUUUUCAACUCAUGACUUAGACUAAUGUGAUAUGUUGAGCAUUAAGCUACAAGAUCUGCACAUCAAAGUGCUUCACGAUGUUAAGGAGAAAGCAUCUUUUUCUGCUUCUUCAUGUGAUUUAAAGUUUCCAAGGUACUUAUCCUAUAAAAUAUCUUUCAAGACUUUGGAAAUGCUUUUAUGUAUGACUGAGAGAAACUUGUUGGGUUGGUUUUUAGCAACGGACGGAGUUAUGGACUUUGUGCUGACUUGUUAUUGAUUAAGACAGUACAUCGGCUGAUCUAUUGGCAUCAAGCAGCAGAUGCAGAAAUUAUGGGUGGCAUAUCAUUGUAUCUAAGAAUAUUUAUCUCCGAGUGAAAUGCAGGCAUUUGCAGAUGAACUGUGGAUUCUUUUUCUGGAGACGAGUGCCAAAGAUGCAAUCAAUGUGGAGCAGGCUUUCUUGACCAUGGCUGGCGAGAUUAAGAAAAAGUAAAAUCACUUGACUCUUUCCUUCUUGCCUUGUGAUUGAUUCUGUGAUCCAUUGCCUAUUUGCAAAUGCUGACUGUUCUUAUUCAACAAUCACCAUUAUUGCUGGUUAUAUGCACGGUGAUGAAAAUUCUGCAAUGAGUAACUUUUUACCUAAUGUUUUCUGUUGGAACAAAUUACUCUGGUAGAAAAGCCCUACAGGGUUUGAGAAAACCCAUGAUGUGACGAUUGUGAGCAUUUUAGACACCGUGUAUGGGUUUAUUUAUGACUAUAAAAUGGUAAGAUUGUUUCUAGUUUUGGUUUGUAGUUCAUAAAAGGAUUCAAAAUUUGACAUCUGUCUAAAUCAGAUUAAUAACAUGAUAAUGUACAUAUGCAAGAUGUGAGGAAUUGUUUUAACUCACCCCUAAACUUUAAGAAAUUGAAACAUUAUCAUUCAAAAUAUUUAACAUUUCCAGAAUUGAUAGUUGUCUAUUUGAGCAGUGACUGGUGGUUAUCAUGAACUGAUGUGUGGUUGUGGUGUCAAAUCUUGGUGAAACCUGUUGUCAUCUGCCGGUUAACAUAAUAAUUUCUUGAUUCACUAAAUAUGAGUUCAAAUUUGAUGCAGAAUGGGCAACCAGCCUACUGCAAACAAAUCUUCUGGAACAGUUCAGAUGAAGGGACAGCCAAUCCAGCAAAACAGCAACUGCUGUGGUUAGCCGAGCAUCUUAUUUUACUUCUACAUGUUAGCUGACUGAUUGUAGACAGUUUUAACUAUGUUGACUGCAUUAUCUUAUGAAUCUUUUAAUCUGUCAGAUUUAUUUCCUGCUUUAAGUUCUUUCCGUUUAUAACAAAUUUAAUUUCAUGCUUCAUUGCAUUCCAAAUUCCUGUCAAUUUACGAGGGAAAAAGAAAAGAGAGACGAGAUCGGAGAAAAUGGUCAAAUUUGUUAGGGGGAGAGAGCUGUUCAAGUAGUUUUUAUUCUUGUUUAUUGUCGUGACCCUCUUGUAGCUUGUCUAUGACCUGGAAGUCCGGUCAUAUCGGAUGGGUAAAGUUACCAAAACGGCAUCAUUUUGGGUGAAAUAUCAUAUUUAUGUAACACUUUUGAUAAUAUUUUUGUGCAACAAAAAAAUGUUCGCGGUACCCUUUUCACAUUGUGUAGCGCAUGAUCGGAUGAGAGCAGUCUGGAUUGUGGCAUCACAAGCUAAUGCUUUGAUUUGCUUAGUUUGUUUUUUGUUUCUGAUUUUUUCUUGGCAUUGGGUGGCAUAUUAUUUCUCUUUUGAGUUUUCCUUUUUUUUUUUUUUUUUUUGUUAUGGAAUCUAGAGAUAGUGUACAUGUAUGAAGAUGACGUAAUAAAGUUAUUUGAUAAUCUCAAAAAAAAAAAUUCACUCUAAUAAAUCUCGUAGCAAGCACAUGGUUUAUAUUGCAAGUCUUUUCGAAACUAAUUCAAAGAGAAAAUAUAAUUGAUCUUUACUUGUCAUAAAGAAUUCUAAAUAAAUUCAUAUACGCAUCGCAGCUAAUUAGAGCCUCUAUACUUACAUUUGGUUUUUGUUACUUUUUUGUAGAGUUGUGCUGUGCAUAAAAGUUUUGUUAAAUGAAAUCGGUGGGUGAAGAGAAUUUUCAGAAGCAUACAUCAAAGUAAUGAUCAAUAUAAAUAUUGAUUGUCUCAAGUUAGAUUAUACAAAGAUGAAAUAAUGCUAAUCUAGUAAAUUCAAUCAUAAUAAUUUGACUUCCAUUAUAUUAAUUAUGUCCAAUCGUGCUACUUUAAUAAAGAACCCUCGAGCAUUUAUAUGUAUACAACAAACAAAAUUAAUUACAAAACGAUCUUUGACAAAGUCUGACCGGUCAACUAUCCACCAAAUUUUGUAAUAUGUUACCGUUGAACUCUCAUAUCAAAUAUGGAUAGACAGCGCUUUGGCUAACAGUGAAAUAUAUACGAGCAUAAGAGCUCCGUUCUCUGUUUUGAUGGUGUUUCUCUUUGUGGUUGUUGGACAAAUUGUAAUGUGAAUUUCUAUUUAAUGGGUAUCAUAAUACUUUUAGUUACUUUGGGAUUGUUGAUUUAUAUAUGACCUUCAGUAUCCAAAAUUCAGAUAAUGAUAACCUUUAGUACUCUUGUCAUAUUACCUUUCGUGUUGGUGUUAAUAUCUUAAUUAUGUACCCAAUGGUAAGGACAAUAUAUAACUAAUUUGAAACUUCUAUAAUUUUAUAUAUAUAGAUGCAAAUUCAUUUUUAAGAGUGCAUUUAAUCAAGCAGUCCAUGCGUUUAUACUGAGUAAUUGGUUCAAUAUUAAUACAAAACUAUUUUAAGUAACAUGUGGCAUAUUCUAAUUCCAGCGAGCUUCCAACUCAUAUUCCCAAUUUAAAAGAAAAGUUUUCAAUUUUCUCCAGAAUGUUCUACAAAACGUUUCUUCUAGUCUCUACACUGUGCUAGAAUUUUCUCUAAGUUUCUUUUGCAAAGACUUUUAAAGAACUAUCCAGAUACUGAGCUAUAAUCCAGUCUAAGCGUAUAUAUCUCUCUAUAUUUCACCUCCCUCCAUUUCACUAGAAGAUCAACAAACACUUAGCUUCGAAACAAACACUCUCAAAAAGCUAGCUUAGCUACCCAGAUGGCGAAAUCAAGAAUUCUUGCAAUGACAAUGUCGUUUCUUGUUAUGGCUGCAACAUUGAUUAUCAUGGCAUCACAAGCAAACACUAUGAUGUCGUACACACAAUCACCUUUCUUUGACGUGAUGUUUGCAAUGACAGAAGAUCCUUUCAGGGUUCUUGAACAAACCCCUCUAACAAUCCCAAAAAGAGCUGAUCAGCAUCAAACUCUAGCCCUGGCGAGAGCAGACUUGAUGGAGCACCAACAGCACACGUGAUCGCGCUCGACAUUCCAGGGAUGAAGAAAGAUGAAGUGAAGAUUGAAGUUGAAGAGAACAAGGUACUCAGAGUGAGUGGGGAGAGGAAGAGUGAUGAUUAUUAUAAGGAGGGAGUUGAAGGAGAGAAACGGCACAGAGCUGAGAGCACAUUUGGCAAGUUUUAGAGGCAGUUCAGGAUGCCUAUGAGUGCUGACUUGGAACAUGUUAAGGCUUAUUUGGAAAAUGGUGUUCUGAGGAUCACAGUGCCAAAGUUUGCUGAGGAGAAGAGGAGGCAGCCUAAGGUUAUUAGCAUUAAUGAAGAGCUCGCAGGUAAUUCUUUCGGUGAAGAUAUUAAGGCCACCAAGGCCCAAAUGUGAUUGAUUAAAGAAAAAAGUGCUUGCUUCGCUUGAUAUGCUAUUUAUCAAAAACUCCUUUUACCAUCCAUUUGAACAUACAUAAACACGCCCAAUUUGAAAGAAAAAAAAGUAGUAAUUAUAAAAUAUUUCAAUCGUCUACUGUUCAGCCACCAAAAACCAAUUUACCAUCCAUUUCAACGCCUAAUUUGAAAAAAGAAAAUACUAAUAAUAAAAUAUUCCAAUUGUCCAUCCUUUCACAAAUCAAAAAUAUCACCAAAAACCAAUUAACCAACUAUUUCAACAUAAGGUAUAUGGGUUAACAAGUCCCAAUAUUGUCCUCCAUCCUUUCUGCACUUCUCUCCUAUCAACGGACAUCCCUGGAUCCAUAAUUGCAAAAGUGAGUAAGGCAGGCCCUUCUUCGGAAAGUAUUUGAGCUUGCGACAAUGAUAGAGGUGCAAUUCAGUGAGGUUUUGAAGAUCAACAACCGAAGAAGAUAGGCGUUCCAGAUUUGGAAAUUUAGAAAUGCUCAGAGAUGUUAGAGAGGCAGGAAGAGGAAGCGCGGUCCCUAAUCUUUUGUCCUCUAGUGGAAAUGACACCAUGUCGUCAUCGCAUCCGCUGAUUGUAAGAUGUCGUAGAGAAGAGAAUCUGUGAAAUCCCCGGCCCCGCUCAAUCAUUGACUUCCAAAUCUCCAUAUUACCCUGAAUAUGAAGUGAAUGAAGGUUGGUGGGAAGGCCAUCUUCUUCAAGGCUUGGAAGCUCACCUCCUAUUGUUAAUUGUUGAAGAGAGGUCAGAUUGUACAAUCCCUUGGGUAAGGCCUCUAGUCUCUUACAAUCAAAUAUCGUCAGCCUCGUGAGUUUCGCACAAGGCAAUCCCCCUUCGGGAAAGGACACCAGAUUUCCACACCUCUUUAUCCAUAUCUCUUGAAGCUGGCGGAGAUUAUGUAAACCACUCGGUAAAAUUUUCAGAUUUUCACAACGAGAAAUGUCGAUUUCUUCAAGAGAUGUGUUGUUGUCCAAUCUUUCUGCUAUUGACUCCAGCUUUGAACAUCCAUAAACACGAAGGGACUUAAGAGACGGAGGUAGAUUGCCAACUUCAAGGGACUCAAGCGUGGCAGGUAACUCGUUUUUUGAAAAUAUACAUGUCAGUGAUGGACAAUGCCAAAUUUCUAAGUGCUCAAGAAGAGAUGAGGUGUACCUUCUGCUGCUGCUGCUACUGUGGAUGCCCUCUUCCACUGUCAAAGUCCUUAUAUUAUCGCAGCGGCUGAUCUCUAACUUCUUAAGUCUCGAUGGUAGCUGGACAACAGCAAUAUAUGUCAACGAUCGGCAACCCUCAAUAUUCAAGAUCUCGAGAGACGAAUUGGUGUCGCACAUCCAUGCCUCUGGUAACGAUUUCAGUGCAUCACAAUGCCUAAUCUGAAUUUUCUUCAACUUGGAAGGCAGAGCAACCUCAGGAAAGGAAACAAGGGAACUGCAGCCUUGGAUUUCUAUAUCUCUCAAGGAACUGAGGCUGAACGAUGAUUGUGGCAGCUUCACAAGGCCUUCGCAAUUACUCAAUCUUAGAUAUUCAAGUCUGCAUGACAACUCGCAGAGCUGCUGUUGUUGGUCUUUCUCUUCCUCCGCAACCAAGGAUUGAAGUUUGGGACAACUUGUAAUCGCCAGUCUUUUGAGAGAGCAAAUGUCUUGCAGUAAUUGGUUAUGGCUCUUCCAUAUACAUGUUUCAUUUUGAAUAUUAUUUAUCUCCAAUUCUUCCAGUUUUGGUAUUCGCGGCUUCAAUGGCCCUGCGAGAAACACUUCAUUUGAUGUAUCUCUACAAACCACUGAAUUCUGUGAGCCGAGAUGAUCAGUUGCACUUCUCCACACAACCUUUUUACAUCCACCAAUUUCCAUUUUGCAAAGAGCUGGAAGACUCGUAACUGACACUGACAAUUCUUCACAUUCUCCAAUAACAAGCAUCUCCAAUGCAGGAAGGCAUUCUGGCACUGUUCCCCGCAGUUUAGAACAUCUUGAAAUGCGAAGCUCUCUCAAUUUAGGAAACCCUUCAACUCCCUGACCAGAUCUAAGAGGAAUCCAGUCUUCCCAUUCUUGCAUGUCUACAAAACGAAGACUUUCCAAGCAUGGAAAAGGAAUCAGGGAAUCAUUCCCAUAGAACUCUGAACCCAAACUCUUUACUCUACUCAUUCCACGCACUUCAAGAUGCUUUAGAGAGGGUAGUUGCCCGACUGAUGGCAGGGUAGUACACAUGCCACAAACUUCAAAAGUUAAGGUCGCCAAAUUUGAGAAUGAGGAAUCUCCCAACCAAGUUGGAAAUUCUUUACCUCCAUAGCCACUGAUACAAAAUUGUUCCAGAUUUUCAUGAGGUUUUAGCAUGUCGACCACAUCCUUUUCAGUUUCUGCCUCCCUUGAAGGCAAACCAUUGGUACUCCGUGUCCAUCGAAAGGUUAACACUUUAAGAUUCUUCUUUCCAUCCAAUUGAGCCUCCUUCGCAUCACCAAUGUCUUUUACGUUCUCUAAUUUUGAAAUGUUAAGUGGCCCACGAAGAUGCGUCAACAAUUUUAGCUCUCGUAUCCCGGAACCACUGUCUUUUCCCACAACAAAAUUACACAGCGUUUGAAGGCAAGUCAACUUACCAAUUCCUAGUGGCAUCUCCUCCAAUGAAUCUGUAUUUGAAUUAUUGAGAUGAUGCAAUUUGAUGAGAUUUCCCAUGUCUGUACACAACUUCUUCAGUCGCCGACAGCCCUCCAACAGAAAGGUGUGCAAAUUGUAAAGCUUGUUGACUGAUUCGGGUAGAGUUAUAAUGCCAGUUCCCGAUAAGUUAAGGUACCUUAAAUACCUCAAAUCACCAAUUGAAUCCGUUAGCUCAUAGAUGCAAUAUCCACGCAAAGAGAAGACCCUCAACCGUUGGAGUUUGAACAACUUAGGAAGAAUGCUACGAGCCAAGAAUCCACGCGAACUAUUUGACAAUGUUACUGGUAAAAAAGUUCGCAAAUGGUGGAUAUCAUGCAAGUCCUCAAACCUUUGAACGCGAUCACAAUAUCCACGAAUGUAUGACAGGUGACGAAGAUUUUUGGAAAAACUUUGUUGCUUGUUAACCUCUGAGUUAUACUCCAUUGUGAAGUACAUCUCCCCAGCGGCCCAAUGGGCAAGUUCGUUGACAAGGUCGUGCAUCACAAAUCGUGAUUUGUUGUUGCUUGAUUGCUGGAAAAAAGAUCUUGAACGUAGCUCUUGAAAGAACUUUCGACCUAGAUCUUCAUUAGGAUUCCCACUCUCUUUGUGAUCCAAGAAACCCGAAGCAUACCAUAAUAAAAUUAUCUCCUCCUCUUCAAAUUCAUAAUCCUUUGGAAACAAUGAGCAGUAUGCAAAGCAUUGUUUCAAAGGUGCCGAAAGAUAAUAGUAGCUCACUCUAAGCGCCGGUAUAAUGUCACAUCUCUCUUCGGGUAAAUUCCAUAUCAUGCAACUGAGCACACCUUCCCAAUCACUCCCGCCAAGUUUACCACGCAAGAGUCCACCAAGAGUUUUCGCAGCUAAGGGCAAGCCGUUGCAUUUGAUCACUAUCUUCUUGCCAAUUUCCUCCAAUGACUUGUUUGAACUGAAAUCUCUUGUCCCCAAAGAGUGUUGAGCGAACACAGACAGACAAUCAUCAUUUGACAACUUUUUCAAUUGAUAAGCCGGAGCAGUCCCCAUGAUGGCUGCAACCCCUUGAUUACGAGUUGUGACAAUAAUCUUACUUCCCGGUGCGCCAGCUUCAAAUGGAGGUCUGAGUCGAUCCCAACCAUUGUAAUUCUCAUUCCAAACGUCAUCUAAAACAAGCAAAAAUUUCUUUUGAGAUAACUUCUUCUUCAGCUCCUCUUGAAGCAAAUUUAAAUCACUAUCAUCAGUAGUCUGCUUAGUAAUGGAUCUUAGAAUUGUUUUUGUUAGCCUGAUAACAUCAAAAUCAUCAGAGACACAAGUCCAUGCCUUGAGAUCAAAAUGACCCUGCACUCGAGCAUCAUUAUAGACAAGCUGAGCGAGAGUGGUUUUACCCAGCCCGCCCAUGCCUAUGAUAGGAAUAACAGAGAAUUCACCAUCAUUUCUCAAAUCAUCCCUCAACAACAAUUCAACAAUUUCUUUCUUUUCUGCUUCCCUGCCAAAUACCUUGGCUUCAUUCACCAAAGAGGUUGUGGGUAGUCUUUGCCUGUCUUUUUUGGACCCCCCAGUUGAACUUUCUUUCAAAUCUAGCAAGUCUUUCUGUGUCACAAUUUCUUGAAAUCUGCCGUUGAUCUCUUUGAUUUUGGACAUCAAGGCAUAAUCGAAAUGAAUCGAUUGUGGAGUAAAAGUGGUGCAGCAAGUAGGAAUGAGCUUCCGAAACUUACUUGUUCUUGUACGACUGCUACUGGGUUGAUCCUGAGCCGCAGCUGGAUCUCCAUUUCCAAGCAGCAACCUCCUCCGGAAAGCCUCAGUUUGAAACUCAUCCAACAAGUCUUCAACAUCAUAAGCGAAGUUCUGAAGCUUGCCAAGCCACUUCUUCACAAACUGAUUAGUCGUCUUCUUCUCCUCAGCAUCAUCAAGUACCGCCUUGAUCAUCUCCAACAUAUUCGCCCACUUCAUCAGAUCGGCCUGGAUUUGCUCUUGGCGUGCAAAAAACAGAAUCCCCUCUGAAGCUAACUUAUUGACCAGCAAAUCAACGGACGCCGUAAGGAUUGCCUCUCCGAUGAUUGACAUUUUUUUUUUGUUUUGCAAAGAAAGAAACAGAAUUUUGAGUUUUGAAAAGCAAAAUGAGAAAAUUGAACAAUAAGUGUGGAGGGUCAAGCAAAAUGCGCGUAACAAGUCUUCCGCUUCUUGUUUAUUCCAGGAAAGUGCAAAUAAAAACAGAGCCCACCACCCAUUAAUAAUUGAGCAAUUCACCAAUCACGAGUCGCCACCACUCGUUACCAUGAAUAUAAUAAAUUGCACCUCCAUAUUUGCAGGGUCCAGCAACAUUGACCCAGUGUCCGGGUAAAUGCUGAAUAACGAGGAAAAUGGAAUGUAUCCGCUACGAAGCUUCGCUUUACAGGUCUUCAAACUCAUAAACCAAGAUAAAUCAAAACGUUUAUCUCUCUCUCUCUCUUUUUGCCAUAUAAUUACUUUAUUUAUUGAAUUAAUUUCCAUGCUAAAAGGAAGACUUAAAAGUGCACUACAAUUUUUUAUAAUCACAAUGGUAAUUUCUACUAUCAUGUUAUUUUAACGUCGUGUUAAAAUAAAUUAUUACAAUUUUUUUUUUUAUGAACACUCUUUUCAUUUAUAAAAUUUUUAAUUUUUAAUAUUUUUCUCACUCUUUUAGUCUUAAUAUUUGUAUUUCUCUCUUCAAACUUUCUUUAUUAUUUAAUUUUUAAAAAAAUAUGAAAAAAAGUAAGAAAAAUAUUAUACUUAAAAGAUAGUGAAUAUUUUAUGGGUCUAAUACAAGCCUGUAUUGUUUUUGACAAUGAAAGAGCACGCGAAAAAUCUCACUCAUAGAAAACUUUGUGAAAGGCAUUUGAAUGUGUGGCCACAUUUUCCGAACGAAACGAUAAGGCUUUAGCCUUAUAAUUGCAAUUAGUUUGUCUUGUAACUAAAUUAUUGCCGACAAACACCAUCAUGCUGACAAACCGUGCAUGCACGUCCUCAAUCACCCCAUAUUUCCCAUUACUUCCCGUACUUUAUGCGUUAUUGUUUUGUAUGUUUUUUGGUGUUUUCGGUGUAGUUAGGGAUCGUAGCGGGUAGCGUCUGGUACGGGUUUGACAUCACCAAACCCGCAUCUACAAAAAAUUUUAAUUACGUAAUUCAAAUUAUAAAUUUAUAAACAUUGCCUAAAAAAACCACAUAAAAUACUUAAUUCUACAUUUUAUCAAUAUAAAUGAGAAAUGAAAAUAUCAACAUUAAAACAAAUACACAAAAUAUAUCAAUUUAACAUUAAUUCUUAAAUUCAAUUACCAAAUAAAUAAGUCUAUCACAACUCGAAGUGCUUUUAAUUUAAAAAGAAAAAAGAGAAAGAGAAAAAACAAAGAACUACAAAUCAAAGUAGCACUCAGACCUAUUUUAUAGGCUCAUUCGACACUAAGAUCUUAGAAUUAAGAUCUUCAAUUCAUUCAUUACCACUAGCACCCAUUCAACGUGGUUUUUCUAAGCAAAAUAUAAAGUACAAAAUUACAAUAAGCAUAUGAUACUCCAUGCUUUAAGUUAAAGGUCCUUAUAUAAUUUUAUGAAUAAUGUUUUAGUGAAAUUUUAUGAUUAAAGUUAAAAAUACACAAAUAUUAAAAUAAGAAUGUUGGAUACCUGUGCAACUAUUUGCCAAAUUUUUUCUCUAUAAAAAUUCACUUGCAACUUGCAGCAGGUUUAAAUUUAUAAUAUCAAACUUGAUUGUAGCUCGCAAAAUUUUUAGAUCUGCGAUAAUUUUGCCACCCUAAGUGUAGUUAGUAUUGUAUAUCGUGUGUUUCCAAUUGGCUCUUAUAAAAAGCCUAGAAGUUGUUUGAAUAAUGAGGGAGACAAAUAUUUCCCAAAGAUAUUAUCUUUUUCAAAUUUUUUUUCUUUUCUCUAUUAUUGUAACUUCAAAUCCUUAAAAAUUACAUAUUACAGAUAUGAACACAAUGUUUUGACAUAGUGCCUUUUGGCUUGUCUAGAGAAAUUUAGGAUAGAUUUUGAUGUACGAAGGCUCUGUUUACUAUUGAGAUUUUGAAACUUUUGAGCCACACUUGAAAUUUGUUUAAUUCUAAUAGAGUUGUAGCCUUCGAUAUGUGAUUGGUAUUAAUCAAGUGUUAUGUUUACAGCAGUUAAAGGCAUAUUGAAUCAAAGUCCACUUUUGAUUGAGAUUUUAAAGUAGGUUUUUAAUUUGAUAGCCACUCAAGUUCAAAUAUUGGAACCACAGUGCACCUUUCACUUGCUAGGCUUUAACCAAACAGACGACGUUAUACCAACUUCUAUCCAAUAAGGCAAUGAAAACAAAAGCAAGUGAAUUAAAAAUAAAUAAUUUCUCAUUAAUUUGCAACAAGUAUUAAUAAAGUGCAUGAGAAAAUAUGUCUUUUUUUAAAUGAAAAUAAAUGUGUUAAUUAGUCAAUUUAAAUGGUACGAUGUUUUGAAAUGAUAGAAGCGAUCUGGAGUUUAAAUCUUACUCUUGACGUAAUAUUUAAUAACGAAUUUGAAGAACAAUUAAAAAUUAAAAGAAAAGAAAAAAAUGCUUUCUUUUUUAACGAUGGUAAUUUGUUCAGACGAUGAAAAUUCUUAGAGUGGUAUAAUAAGUAUUUUUGAGUGUUGCCAUCGCGAAUAAUAUUUAAUUUCCUUUAUAUAGUUAUAUCUCAAGUAACAUUUGAACAGAAGCAAGUUGGAAAUUAAAAAAAAGAAUGAACCAUUGAGAGAAUGAAAAACAAACAAAAAAAAAGUUAAAAAAAUUGUAUCUCAAUAAAUUUACUUGAGAGCUACUCUAUUGAUCUGUGAAGAGAAAACACAAAGAAUAAUGAUGAAUAUCAAUUAAUAGGACAAUUUUUGUAUUUUUCGUUUAUUCAAGAAUCACGAAACUUCAUUUAAACUUGUUAUUUCAUUGAUAAUAUUAAUAUAUUAAUAUUGAACAAUUAAUGUAGGAGACAUUCCUUUCCAAUUAUGCCCAUAUAUUAAUUAAAGAUCACCCAAAAGUUCAGGGAUACUAUAGUAAUUUAAGUCAACAAUUUCUGCGCUUGAAAUCAGCCGAUCAAACUCACUUUAGAAUAAACUGAGAAAUCAAAAUCACAUUCUCCGAUUCUACGAUUUCAAUUCAUCUUAUUUCUUCAACUGAAGAAUUGGUUGUAUCUCGUUUUAUUUUAUUUUUAUUUUUAUAUUAAGAUAAAUAUAAAAUAUAAAUGACGAGGAGACUGUAAAUGUAAAAACAAAAGAAGAGCACAAGUUUUAUUGAAAAUGACUCUUUUCAUCAUUUUGGCGGAGUGAACGUAUCUACAUAUAAACUAAAGAAGCACAUUUGUUUGUAUUAACUUUUUUAUUAUAUUUUUAAUAAUAAGUCAUUUUUCAAUGAACUUAUAUCAAUUUUUACGAAAAUAAUAGGUGUUAGUUAGUUGAUUCAAAUGGCAAAACCUCUUGGAUAGAGCUUGUAAUUUAUUGGCUCAUGAAUUGUCUAAAUUGACACUACCGAAGCCAAAUUAUUAUAUUUGGUUAAAAAAGCUCCUGCUGAGCUUCAACUUUAUUAUUCUAUGAUGUUUAUUAAUAAAUAACAAUUUUAUUAAAAAAAAGAUCUCUUGAAAUGAUACAAAAGAUUUGGGAUCUGAAUCUCACUCGAAUUUAGCUUGAGGUUGGCAUUGUUAGCAUAAUAUUUGAAGAUAGAUUUUUUUAAAAUUAAAAAUCAAAAGAUUUUUUUUUCUGGUUCACACUAGUUAGUUUUUACUCAUAAUGAGAUUAAAACAAAAGCGGAAUAAUAAAUCUUAACAUCCUGACUCAUGGAUAACAUCUAGAUAAGAUAGUAAAAUCUAUUAUGUCCAAAAUAAGAGGUAUGAAGUUUGAAUUUCGCUCACAUAGGUAGUAAGAGAAUCAAAUUAUUGUUAGAUUAAAUUAAUUAAAAAAAUUAUCUGAUAUCCAAAACAGCGUGUCAACAAAAUUGAAAUAAAAGAAAAUUGAAGAGAAAAACCAUUGAGAGAACGAAAAAUUAACACAAGAUAAAUUCGAUAACUAAUUGUAUCAGUGUGCGCUAACUUCACUUAUUAAAACUUGGUUAUUUCAUUUUCAUUGAUAAUCAUUUUGACAACGAUUUUUCUUUCCAGCUAUGCCCGUGAACUAAUAAGAGAACUGCCGAAAGGGUUCGGGGAUAAUAUAGUAAUUUAAAUUAACAUUUUCUGUGCUUCAAAUCAUCAAAUCAAACUCACACUUCGCAACAACAGAGAAAUCAAACUCACGGUUUCUCUCAUUUUUAAUUUGUUAUAUAAAGAUAAAUAUAUAAAUUUAAAUGGCGAGAAGACCGGACGAGAAAUACGAUUACUUGUUCAAAGUGGUAUUAAUCUAAAAAUAAUAAUAUUAAAUAAAACACCUGUAACUUUAAGACAUACAUAUUCUCAAAGCACAAGUGGACCCGAGAGGCUGGGAGUCGUAAUGGAAAGAAGAAUACAAUAUAUGAAACUUAUAACGUUAUUUUUACUAUAUUAUAUUGAUACUUUGUUUUGUUAAUCAUAUAAGUCAAUCAAUAAUUGUCUAAUCAUUGGAAUUAAAACUAAUGUAUUAAUUAAAAUUCACAAUCUAUUAUAAAAAUAGUAAAUAUUAAUACAAAGAGAUGGACCUAUUACAAAAUAAAUUCACCAAAAGUUCUAUUAUACUUAAAAUUCUCAUUCAAAAAAAAAUAAUAGUUGAAUACAUGUACAAAAAAAGGGGAUAAAUAAAAAAUAAUAAUAAUAAAUAAUAAAAGGAUAGUUUAUAUAAUAAAAAAUAAAUUUAUUGAAUAGGGAUGUUAAUAAUAAAGAAUAAUAGCCGAUCAAACUCACUUUAGAAUAAACUGAGAAAUCAAAAUCACAUUCUCCGAUUCUACGAUUGACUCUUUUUCAUCAUUUUACUGGAGUGAAUGUAGCUACAUGUAUUGGGGACCAUAAUGGAAACUGGUAGAAACUACAAGGGCUAAAAUCAGAACAACGAACGAUAUCUCAAGGUCGCCAAAACGUAAAUAAUUAAUCUUAUCUUUCAAUUGAUUUUUUUGUGGAGACAGAGACAAACCCGAACAGCAAAUAGCCAUAACUGAUAGGACAACUAAGUUGGAACACUCCGCAGACCCACGAUUUAAUAUCUUUAGAUUGUAACGGUUUAACCCCCAAAAAAAAAAAUUAGCAAAAUAUUUCUUAAAAAAAUGAAAAAAAAAAUGUUGAAAAGAAGAACAAAAUUGUGGUCCACGUGUCAUUUCAGAAUAGGUUGCUGGCAUAAACAACCGGCCCCAUCCCGGACAGAUGUUAUUUGAGUGGUUGGUACGCGUUUCUACUUUUUUGUUUUAGACAUAUAUAGGUAAUCCCUAUCUUAUAUAUAUAGGUAAUCCCUAUCUUAUAUGCAUAUAAGAUACAUAAUGUUAUUAGUUUAAAUAAUGGGUGCAACUCAUGUUUUUGAAACAUUAAGAUCUUUAGCCAUUCUCUUACCAUCCCAUGGUUAUUUAAGUUACAAGAGACAGUAAAAAAACGUCAUAUUUUAAUUACUUACACUAAUAAAUAACUUACUCACACUAAUGCCGCGACUACCGCUUGCUUUUUUUCUUUUUUUUGCCCUUUUGUUUUUGACUUUUUGACUUUUGCUUUUGGUUUAUAAUAAUAAUAAUAAUAAUAAUAAUAAUAAUAAUAACUACUUUUUAAUUUAAUAUAAUAUAAUAUUAAAUAAUAUUUUUAAUUUUAAUUUUACAUUAUAAUUAUUAAUAUAUAAUUUAUUAUUCAAUAUUAUUAUAUUAUGUUUUUUAUUUUUACAUUAUAAUUUAUUAAUAAAUUUAUAAUUUAUUAUAACUAAUAAUAAAUAUUUAAAUAUGAAUAAAUAUGAAUAAUAUUAAUUUAAAAUUAAUAAUAAUAUAAAAUAUUAAUACAAUUUAAAUAUAUUAAUAUAAUAUAAUAUAAUAUUUAAUUUGAAUUAAUCACAAAAAAUUAAUACAGUACAGUGUAGCACCAAAUAUUGUACAUUAUUAUUAUAAUACAAUGUUAAUGCAACGCAACAUAAUACAAUACACCAGCAUUAAAAUAAUACAAUCUAGCAUAAUACACUACAGUGUGCGAAAUACACCGACAUAGAAUUACUUUGUUUGUCUUGUUAUUUACAAUUAUUUAAUCUGUAGACCCACUCAUGCUCCUUCUAUGUAACAUAGAUACAAUUUGAGGAAGAUUAUCAAUUUUUUCUGAUAAAAAAUAAUAUAUACCACUUACUCUUUAUUGUUUUUAUAAUGUUCAACAAUCCGCUUGAGAUAAAAAAAAUUAAAUGAAAAAGAGUAAAUAGAUGAUUUGUUUGAUGUUAUAUCUUAGAAAUAUAAAAUAUAUAUUUAUUAUUAAAAAUAUUUAAAAAUAAUAAAGAGUACAUAAAAAAUAUCUUAUCCUCAACAACAAGAUCAGACGACGUCAAUUCAGCAAAAUGACUCGAACAAUCUGAAAGUCCAGCGUCACCUCUUGGGACACAUCUGGCAACCUGUGUAGCUUUGGCGAGAGGUCUCCCAAAAGGACGAUUAAGGAAAGAUUGCAAGACGGAAUCAUGAAAAUAGUAGUACUGAGUCCAUCACAGUCAAGUCUUAGAAAUCACAUCCCUGUAUUAAUUUCCAGAAAAAUGUUUGUUCCAUAUUAGCCGUACACGUAUAUAUUCUAUAUAUUGGGAAUAGAAAGAGCAUAUGUAGAAAAUUCUUCAUUCAUCAAUUAAAACUUAACUUAUGUACGAGGGUUAAGUGCAGAGUUUUUAAAUUUGAAAGGGAUAAGUAUUAUAGUCCAUUUCAAUUUAGAUACAAGUACUUCGAACUUGUAUUUGAGGUAAAAUCUGUAUACCAUAGUACAUAUUAUAUAUCCAGUCAUGGGAUCCAUGCAUGGUUCCAUGUAAUUCGCAGAGUUGAACUGGAGACACUGAUUAGUUCGUUGUCUACUUACCAACUAUGUACUACUAAGUAAUUUUUUUUUUUUUUUUAUGGUUCAAAAGCAUAUUGUCAAACCACAAUCAGAAGCAACUUAAGUUUUGAUUACGGUUCACCAGAAGUCACAGCUAGCAAGUGAUCCUUGCAUCAUUUUGCUAAACAUACAAUGAAAUUAACCCUUGUAAUUUCGGCCUUUGCCAUAGUCGUUUUGUUUAUUAGGUUUAUGUUUAUCAACAUGAUAUAUUGUCAACCAUAAUCACAAUCAAGUUGUUAAUUAUUUUUUAAAUAAUGCGAAGGUACAAGAUUUUGGUCUUUGAGUGUGGAGUUAAAAAUAUCUCACCUCAACAUUAUUUGUUAAAAAUUAUGUCAAAGAGGAAAGCAGAUUCAAACAUUACUUCAAUUUUCUUUAAGAGCAUCAAAAAAUCGUUAAUAGGCUACUGUUAUUUGUUAGUACGAUUUCACAAAAGGAAGCUGGGGGAAGAUGAAGCUUUCAAGUCAUGUAUGCAUCAAAGUAAGAAAGAGCUAACAAGAGAUAGACAAGUAUUAACCAUCGUUAUCAGAAAUUAAAUAUGUCAGCAUUUUGUCAGUUCUGGCCAUAUUUUGAAAGAUUGGAACUAUUAGCACCCUAAUUUUCUUUUGAAGCUCCUUUUCUGUGGAAACCUAUUUUAAUUUCCAAAAUAUCUUUUUUCCAUUCUUUUAGUUUCUUUCUGAUUCAAAAAAAAAAUCAGUUUCUUAAACAACUCCAACUAUAAAUAUUUUUUUACAAAUUUUUGAAUUGUUAAAUCAUGUGUGUGUAUAAAUUGAAUAGAAUUAAAAGUGAACUCAAAUGGCUAUUAUGUAAUUUUUUUUUUUAUAAUUAAAGAAAAGUUUAGAAUGCAAAAGUGCGUGUGAGAAAACAAAAAAUAUAAAUCGCCUUUGAUGUAGUUGUAUGGCUGUAAAGAGUUAAAUGGAGAAAUAUAGUAUAUAGUUAAAUUUAUUUUGUUCUUUAAAACGGGUAGGUUUUAUAAGAAUUGUUUAGAGGACUACCAAUAUUUGAACUCUUUUUCAAAUGAAGUGAUGUCCAAGAAUAAAAUCACUACUCUAUCAUUGCUAUUAGUUUGUCUUGUAAUUCAAUCACUGCCGACAAGUAUUAAUUGUGAAUAUUAUUAUUUUAAAAAUAUUAUUAUUAUUAUCGUCGUUAUUCUUAACAGCAAUGACUAGAAUUAUAAUAAUAACAAUAACGUUAUACCAUAAUAUAACAACACAAUAAUAUUUUAAUUGAGAAUAAGAAUGAAAUUAUGAAAUUUAGGUUGGGUAAAAUUGAUGAGUGAAGAAAUUAAAUUACCAUUCUUUAAGCUAAAUAGUUCAUAAAUUCCACAUAUUUUAUUCUUAUUUUUCUUAUAUUUUAACAAGUAAAUAUUAUUAAUUAUUUUAAUAUUUUAAUUAAUAAACACGAGAUUAACUACAGAACCAAAAGAUCCCAAAAAAAAAAGGGGAGACGCGUGUAUGUAUUGCUUGUGACAAGUCUCACCCAUGGAAAACUUUGUGAAAGGCAUUUGAAUGUGUGGCCACAUUUAAUGAACGAAACGAUAACUUUAAAAGAAAGUAUGUAAUGUGUUGAUUAUUAGGCUUUAGCAUGGUGAUUGCAAUUAGUUUGUCUUUUAAUUAAAUUAUUGCCUACAAACACUAUCACGACCCACGUCCGCUACUUGUGUGAAUGUGUGAAUAAAUAUCCGCAGCAUAUUAUCAAACCUGAAGCGUGAUCAUCUUUAAGUUUUGGUUACAGUUCAUCAGACGUUAAAAAAAAAACUCCACAUAUUGUUGGUUAGCUAAUUCUUGCAGCUAGCAAGUGAUCAUUUUCUUUCCCCUACUGCCGUAGCAUCAAAUCCUUGCACUUACAUAUCAAGUGGUAUUCGAGCCGUCAAAUGAUCCAUGGAAACACGCAACAAAUCAAAUGCUGAAUUUUGCGAAGAGAUUCACGAAAUCCUUGCUAUACAUGAGUCUAGUUUUGACCAAGUUCACGUCACCCAUCAGCUGCGGGUUUGAAUGGUACCUAGUGGAUAGUUUGUGAGUUCCCACUAAUAAAAUCACACUUGCAACAAAACUUAAAAAUUUAAAUUACGUAAUUCAAAUUAUAAAUUUGUAAUCGUAGCCUAAAAAAUCACAUAAAAUACUUAAUUCUAGAUUUUAUCAAUGUAAAUGAGAAAUGAAAGUUUUAACAUUAAAAUAAAUACACAAAAUAUAUCAAUUUAACAUAAAUUCUCAAAUUUAAUUACUAAAUACAUAAGUCUAUCGCAACUCAAAGUGUAGCACCAAAUAUUAUACAUUAUUAUUAUAAUAAAGUGCUAAUGCAACGCAACAUAAUACAAUACACCAGUAUUAAAAUAAUACAAUCUAACAUAAUACAAUACAGUGUGCGAAAUGAACCGAAAUGGUAUUACUUUGUUUGUCUUGUUAUUUACAAUUAUUUAAUCUGUAGACCCACUCAUGCUCCUUCUAUGUAACAUCGAUACAAAUUGAGAAAUUUUAUCAUUUUUUUCUGGGAAAAAAUAAUAUAUACCACUUACUCUUUAUUGUUUUUAUAAUGUUCAACAAUCCACUUGAGAUAAAAAAAAUUAAAUGAAAAGAAGGAGUAAAUAGAUGAUUUGCUCGAUGUUGUAUCUUAGAAAUAUAAAAUAUAUAUUUAUUAUUAAAAAUAUUUAAAAAUAAUAGAGACUUCAUAAAAAAUAUCUUAUCCUCAACAACAAGAUCAGACGACGUCAAUUCAGCAAAAUGACUUGAACAAUUUGAAAGUCCAGCGACGGUCACCUCUUGGCACACAUACGGCAACGUGUGUAGCUUUGGCAAGAGGUCUCCCAAAAGGACGAUUAAGGAAAGAUUGCAAGACAAAAUCAUGAAAAUAGUAGUACAGAUAUGCAAUGGCUAAAUUGUCCUCGAUUGAGUCAAUCGCAAUCAAGUCUUAGAAAUCGCACCCCUGUAUUAAUUUCCAGAAAUAUGUUUGUUCCAUAUUUAUCGUGCACGUAUACAUUGUAUGUAUUGGGAAUAGAAAGAGUGUAUGUAAAAAAUUCUUCAUUCAUCGAUUAAAACUUAACUUAUGUACGAGAGUUAAGUGCAGCGUUUUUAAAUUUAAAAAGGACAAGUGGUUAGAGCUCCCACAAAUGUAUUGUAGAAGUUUAAUUUAAAUUUUUCUUCCUUAAAACUUAAGUGAAGACAGUUUUUCUCCUAAAAGUAGAGUUUUUCUAGGAGUUUGACGUCCCUCAAAUAUUUGAGAGGGUUAAAAUCUGAGCAAUACUAUAUAAGAUGUAAUGUAAACUGAUCUCAAUAAUUAUAUAAUUGUAAAUAUCAUGAGCAACAAUCUCAUUAAAAAAAAAGCAGAACAAGUGUCGUAAGUGUUGGAGAAAAAUUAGGUUUUUAAAUUUUUUAUAAAACCUUUUGAAGAUCUCUCUCAUAUAAUAUAUAAGAAUACGUAAUCUAGAAAUCGUAUCUUGAAAAUCCGAUUUGGCUUUUUUCGUUGAAGUGAUUUAGGCUCCUUGAUCACGAUCUUCCAUCACCACUCCUGUUAGAUCACGAUCCGUCACCACCACACUUGUUAGAUCACGAACUGUCACCAAUGAUCUUCCAGGUUAUGACUCAGGUUUGAUCUGCACUUGACGUGUGGGCGCCUUUAUCACUACUAAAGCAACUAGCACGAGAAAAUUUUUCUCUCAACAAUAGAGAGAAAAAUAUUUUUCUCUGAUCUGUAUAAAGUGGCUGCUCUCUUUUUCUUUUUAGAAAAUAAGCCUUUUUUAUAUCACUCUUUAGUGAAAACCCUAGACUCCAAAUAAUCAAAAAACAAAACUCACGUUAUUUGUUUUUUCUAUAGGAGACCCACCUUGUAAAAUAACAUAAGGCCCCUUACACAAAAGCUAAUUAAAUGGAGCCUCCCACUAAAUGAUAUAUUUAGGCUUUUGACCCAAAUAGCUAGUUAUCUUACUUAUUAGUCUAGUAGUGGUGCAGUCAAUUAAAUGAGCUAACCCAGGGAUCAUUUGGGAACAUACAAUAGUAGCUACAAUAAUUAGGCCUGUAAUUAAACUAGCCCAAUUAUUUACUUCCAAAUCUACUCCACUAAAAGAUUGGAACUGACUUCCAUAAUUGUAUGCUCGAAUAAUAAUUCGUCCCAAGCCACAUUGAUUUCUUUACUGCACAAUCCUUUGUACCACAUCGUUAAUUAAAUUGAUAUCUCAACUGUCCAAUCAAUUUAAUAACAUCUUAUUCCUUGAUCCUUACUGGUUUUCUCUAAUGAUCAUUUUCAACAUACUAAAUAUGUUGACACACUCUGGCCAGAGAAUUCUAUGAUCAAGUGCCGAAAACCCAUCAAGAGAUGUGUUGUACAAAUUCUAUAUUGUUAAUCCAUAACUCCAAUACUCAUAAUUGCUCCCACUAAGAUACCGGGUAAUCUUGACCACAAGGAUGUGUCUGCCCAUUGGUAAUUCAAAUGGAAUAACAAUUACAAUCAUGAAAUCAUAAUUAACUCAAGAUUAAGAUUACAGUAAAAUCAAUGCCUAUGAGAUUUAAUAAGUUUGACAGUUAUUACAAAGUUAAUUAAAUCUCAUAUGUGAUCCUGUUCAAUAUAGUCAUACUACAUCAAUAAAUUCAUACAUGAAUAAGACAAAUCAUUCAAUGAAUUUAUUACAGUCUAUACCUAAAUAAAGUGCCCAAUUUUAUUUAUCAACUGCGAACUAAAUUUAUUUAAUCAUAAGAUAACUUGUAUUUAUGUUUUCUGUGAAUCCACAUGGUGAUCACAUAAAUACAUCUAAUAUGAUUAAAUGGAUUUUAAUACAAAUAUUAAUGCAAUUAAGAUAUUUGAAUAAAAUACCUUAUUUAUUUUAUUAAUCAGAAAAAUUAUUUAUUACAAUUAAAUAAACACAUAUGCUUUUAAAGAGCAUAUUUUCCCAACAAUAAGCCCAUUUAAAUAAACUAAUAUUUGAAGGGGAAAUCUCUGUAUACCAUAGUAUAUAUUAUACAUCCAGUCAUGGGACCCAUACAUGGAUGGUUCCAUGUAAUUCGCAGAGUUGAACUAGAGACACUGAUUAGUUUGUUGUCUACUUACCAACUUAUGUACAACUAAGUAAUUGCAUGCUCCAUUUGCGACUUAUCUGUCCACCCUGCUUGCAUUGCAUUAACUACGUCCCCAAUCACCCACGUCCGCUACUUGUGUGAACGUGUACAUAAAUACAUAUAUCCGCAGCAUAUUAUCAAACCAGAAUCAGAAGCAACUUAAGUUUUGAUUACGGUUCACCAGAAGUCACAGUUAGCAAGUGAUCCUUGCAUCAUUUUACUAAACAUACAAUGAAAUCAACCCUUGUAAUUUCGGCCUUUGCCAUAGUCGUUUUGUUCAUUAGGUUUAUGUUUAUCAACAUGAUAUAUUGUCAACCAUAAUCGCAAUCAAGUUGUUAAUUAUUUUUUAAAUAAUGUGAAGGAACAAGAUUUUGGCCUUUGAGUGUGGGGUUAAAAAUAUCUCACCUCAAUAUACGGUGUUGUGCUCUCAUCAUCGUACUAUUAUUUGUUAAAAGUAUGUCAAAGAGGAAAGCAGAUUCUGUUGGGAAAAUAUGCUCUUUAAAAGCAUAUGUGUUUAUUUAAUUGUAAUAAACAGUUUUUCUGAUUAAUAAAAUAAAUGAGGUAUUUUAUUCAAAUAUCUUAAUUGCAUUAAUAUUUGUAUUAAAGUCCAUUUAAUCAUAUUAUAUGUAUUUAUGUGAUCACCAUGUGGAUUCACAGAAGACAUAAAUACAAGUUAUCUUAUGAUUAAAUAAAUUUAGUUCGCAGUUGAUAAAUAAAGUUGGGCACUUUAUUUAGGUAUAGACUGUAAUAAAUUCAUUGAAUGAUUUGUCUUAAUCAUGUAUGAAUUUAUUGAUGUAGUACGACUACAUUGAACAGGAUCACAUAUGAGAUUUAAUUAACUUUGUAAUAACUGUCAGACUUAUUAAAUCUCAUAGGCGUUGAUUUUACUGUAAUCUUAAUCUUGAGUUAAUUAUGAUUUCAUGAUUGUGAUUGUUAUUUCAUUUGAGUUACCAAUGGGCACGACACAUCCUUGUGGUCAAGAUUACCCGGUAUCUUGGUGGGAGCAAUUAUGAGUAUUGGAGUUAUGGAUUAACAAUAUAGAAUUUGUACAACACAUCUCUUGAUAGGUUUUCGGUACUUGAUCAUAGAAUUCUCUGGCCAGAGUGUGUCAACAUAUUUAGUAUGUUGAAAAUGAUCAUUAGAGAAAACCAGUAAGGAUCAAGGAAUAAGAUGUUAUUAAAUUGAUUGGACAGUUGAGAUAUCAAUUUAAUUAACGAUGUGGUACAAAGGAUUGUGCAGUAAAGAAAUCAAUGUGGCUUGGGACGAAUUAUUAUUCGAGCAUACAAUUAUGGAAGUCAGUUCCAAUCUUUUAGUGGAGUAGAUUUGGAAUUAAAUAAUUGGGCUAGUUUAAUUACAGGCCUAAUUAUUGUAGCCACUAUUGUAUGUUCCCAAAUGAUCCCCGGGUUAGCUCAUUUAAUUGACUGCACCACUACUGGACUAAUAAGUAAGAUAACUAGCUAUUUGGGUCAAAAGCCUAAAUAUAUCAUUUAGUGGGAGGCUCCAUUUAAUUAGCUUUUGUAUAAGGGGCCUUAUGUUAUUUUACAAGGUGGGUCCCUUAUUGAAAAAGCAAAUAACGUGGGUUUUGUUUUUUGGAUUAUUUGGAGCCUAGGGUUUUCACUAAAGGAAGAUAUAUAAGGUUUAUUUUCUCUAAAGGAAAAGUGAGAAGCCACUUUAUACAAAUCAGAGAAUAAGAUUUUUCUCUCCAUUAUUGAGAGAAAGAUUUUCUCGUGCUAGUUGCUUUGGUAGUGAUAAAGGCGCCCACACGUCAGGUGCAGAUCGAACCUGAGUCAUAACCUGGAAGAUCAUUGGUGACAGUUCGUGAUCUAACAAGCGUGGUGGUGACGGAUCGUGAUCUAACAAGAGUGGUGGUGGCGGAUCGUGAUCUAGGAGCCUAAAUCACUUCAGCGGAAAAAGCCAACUCGGAUUUUCAAGGUACGAUUUCUAGAAUACGAAUUCUUAUAUAUUAUAUGAGAGCGAUCUUCAAAAGGUUUUAUAAAAAUUUAAAAACCUGAUUUUUCCCCAACAGAUUCAAACAUUACUUCAAUUUUAUUUAAGAGAAUAAAAAAAUCGUUAAUAGGCUACUGUUAUUUGUUAGUACGAUUUCACAAAAAAAUCAGUUUCUUAAACAACUCCAACUACAAUUUUUUUUAACAAAUUUUUGAAUUAUUAAAUCAUAUGUUUGUGUAUAAAUUGAAUAGAAUUAAAAGUGGACGCAAAUGGCUAUUAUGUAAUUUUUUUAUAAUUAAAGAAAAGUUUAGAAUGUAAAAGUGUGUAUGAGAAAACAAAAAAUAUAAAUCACCUUUGAUGUAGUUGUAUGAUUGUAAAGAGUUAGAUGGAGAAAUAUAAUAUAUAAUUAAAUUUAUUUUGUUCCUUAAAACGGGUAGAUUUUAUAAGAAUUUUCCAGAGGAGUGCCAAUAUUUCAACUUUUUUUCAAAUGAAUUGAUGUCCUGGAAUAAAAUCACUACUCUAUCAUUGCUAUUAGUUUGUCUUGUAUUUCAAUAAUUGCCGACAAGUAUUAAUUGUGAAUAUUAUUAUUUUAAAAAUUUAUUAUUAUUAUCGUCGUUAUUCUUAACAGCAAUGACUAGAAUUUUAAUAAGAACAAUAACGUUAAUACAAUAAUAUAACAACAUAAUAAUAUUUUAAUUGGGAGAAUAAGAAUGAAAUUAUGAAAUUUAGGUUGGGUAAAAAUGAUGAGUAUCAGGAAAUUAAAUUACCAUUUUUUAAGCUAAACAAUUCAUAAAUUCCACGUAUUUCAUUCUUAUUUCUCUUAUAUUUUAACAAGUAAACAUUAUCAAUAGUUUUAAUAUUUUAAUUAAUAAACACGGUGUUAACUACGGAACUAAAAGAUCCAAAAAAAAAAAAAACCAGAGACGCGUGUAUGUAUUGCUUGUGACAAAUCUCACCCAUGGAAAACUUUGUGAAAGGCAUUUGAAUGUGAGGCCACAUUUAAUGAACGAAACGAUAACUUUAAAAGAGAGUAUGUACUGUGUUAAUUAUUAGGCUUUAGCUUAAUGAUUGCAAUUAGUUUGUCUUGUAAUUAAAUUAUUGCCGACAAACACUAUCACGACCCACGUCCGCUACUUGUGUGAACGUGUGUAUAAAUAUCCACAGCAUACUAUCAAACCUGAAGCGUGAUCAUCUUUAAGUUUUGGUUAGGGUUCAUCAGACGUUGGAAGAUAUCUUUCCUAAUUUGAAGAAGAUGGAAACUCCUUAUCCAGGUUCUUAGGCCAUGUUCAGUUGAAUGUCAUUUAUAAUUUUUAUUUUAACAUUAUGUAUUUAUGAAUACAAUUAUUGUUAUGAUUUUUUCAGGUAAGAAUGGAUGGUCUGAGGGUAACCCAAUAACUAUGUACAGUAUUAUUAAUGAAAAGAGAGCGUGAGUGACAAUUUGGAUUUUAUUAUCGUCCCUCAAUACGGAAGAAAUCUUGACCAUAGCGGUUAAGUGCUAUGUAACUCUUUCGUAUUAUGUUUAAUUAAUAAUAAAAUGAUGGGUUAUUAUUACCUGUCAAUUAUGUGAGGAGUGUCUUUAUUUGGUUUACUUCCACUUAUAAAAUCUCUUGAGAUAUAUAAGAGAUUUUCUUUAUUUAAUUUUGUGUACCGUGUCUUCUUGUAAAAAGAAAUUAAUAAAAAAAAUCAUUGUUUGCAAUGUAUUAACUAAGUUAGUGUAUUCAUGUUAGGUUAAUUGUGCUCUCUCUUCUUGAUAUUUUAAAAAAAAAAAAAAAUCCACAUAUUGUUGGUUAGCUAAUUCUUGCAGCUAGCAAGUGAUCCUUUUCUUUCCCCUACUGCCGUAGCAUCAAAUCCUUACAAUUACAUAUCAAGUGGUAUUCGAGCCGUCAAAUGAUCCAUGGAAACACGCAACAAAUCAAAUGCUGAAUUUUGCGAAGAGAUUCACGAAAUCCUUGCUAUACAUGAGUCUAGUUUUGACCAAGUUUACGUCACCCAUCAGCUGCGGGUUUGAAUGGUACCUAGUGGAUAUUUUGUGAGUUCCCACUAAUAAAAUCACACUUGCAACAAAACUUAAAAAUUUAAAUUACGUAAUUCAAAUUAUAAAUUUGUAAUCGUAGCCUAAAAAAUCACAUCAAGUACUUAAUUCUAGAUUUUAUCAAUGUAAAUGAGAAAUGAAAGUUUUAGCAUUAAAAUAAAUACACAAAAUAUAUCAAUUUAACACAAAUUUUCAAAUUUAAUUACUAAAUACAUAAGUCUAUCACAACUCAAAGUGCUUUCAAUUGAACACGAAAAAAGAGAAAGAGAAAAAAAAUAAAGAACUACAAAUCAAAGUAGCAUCCAUGACCCAUUUUGCAGUCUCAUUCAAUACCACUAGUACCCAUCCAACACGAUUUAUCUAAACAAAGUAUAAAGUGCAAAAUUACAAUAAGCAUAUCAUACUCCAUGCUUUAAGUUAAAGAUCCUUAUAUAUUUUUAUGAAUAAUUUUUUGAUGAAAUUUUAUGAUUAAAAUUAAAAAUACAAACAUUCAAAUGAGAAUGUCGGACACUUGCGCAACUAUUUACCAAAUUUUUUCUCUAUAAAAAUCGACCUGCAACUUUCAAUAGGUUUAAAUUUAUAAUAUCAAACUUGAUUGCAGCUCGCAAAAAUUAUCUGUUGCGGCCAAGACUUUGGAUUUACGAUGAUUUUGCCACCCUAAGUGUAGUUAGUAUUGUAUCUCAUGUGGCUCUUAUAAAAAGCCUAGAAGUUGUUUGAAUAACGAGGGAGACACAUAUCUCCCACAGAUUUUUUCUUUUUCAAAGUAUUAUGUUUUCUCUAUUAUUGUAACUUCGAAUCCUUAUAAAUUAUAGAUUGGAGACAUGAACACAAUGUUUUGACAUAGUGGACUUUUGACUUGUCCAGAGAAAUUUAGGAUAGAUUUUUACGCACUAAGGCUCUAUUUACUAUUGAGGUUUUAGAACUUUUAAGCCACACUAGAAAUUUGUAUUGUUUUGAUAGAGUUGUAGUCUUUGAUAUGUGAUUGGUAUUAAUCAAGUGUUAUGUUUACAAUAGUUAAAGGCAUAUUGAAUCAAAAUCCACUUCUAAGGGCUUGAUUGAGUGAUUGUAAAGUAGGUUUUUAGUUUGCUAGCCACUCAAGUUCAAAUAUUAGAACCACAGAGCUUUAUAGCCAAGUGAGAGAACUUGUGCCCUAAAAAUUGAGGGGUGCAUAUCAAGUUUUACCACCAAUAAAAGUUGGUGUUAAAACUUUAAUUUCCCUCUUAUUGAUGGAUAUGGGUAAUUAGGAGUUUACAUCCCCUCCUAUUAAUAGACAGGGGUUAUUAGGAAUAUUAAAAAAAAGUUUAAAUAUUGAAAAUAUAGGUAUGAGUUAUAAAAUUCAUAAUAUAAAGAAAAAAAAUCAAGAUAAAGAUUUAAAAAUUUAGAACCAUGAGAGCGUGACUUGUAAGUUUCAAAGAAGCAUGUGCAAAUAUAUGCAUUAUCGAUGCCCAAUUAAGGGUGGGCAUUAAGAUCGGGUUAACCCGAACCGAAUCGAACUUAAAAUUUAUUUUCUCACAAAUGGGUGGUUUGUGCGGGGGAUUCACUGGCUUUUGUUUGCAUUGCCUUAUUGGAUAAAGUCGAGCAUGAGUGAAGAAAAAUUAAAAAUAAAAAAUUUCCCAUUAAUUUGCAACAAGUAUUAUUAAAGUGCAUGAGAAAAGCCACCAGGAUAUGUCUUUUUUUAAAUGAAAAUAAAUGCGUUAAUUAGUCAAUUUAAAUGGUAAGACAUUUUGAAAUGACAGAAGCGAUCUAAAGUUUAAAUCUUACUCACACUUAAUUUAGGGUUGGGGAUUAAUUGACGUACGAUAUAAUAACGAAUUCGAAAGACAAUUAAAAAUUAAAAGAAAAUAAAAAAGUACUUUCUUUUUUAUGAUGAUAAUUUGUUUAGAUGAUGAAAACUCUUAGAGUGGUGUUAUCAGUACAUAGUUUCGAGCGUUGCCAACGUGAAUAAUAUUUAAUUUCCUUUAUAUAGUUAUAUCUGAACUAACAUUUUAACAGAAAUAAGUUGUAAAAAAAAAAAAAGGAACCAUUGAGAUUUGAGAGAACGAAAAACGAAUAAAAAAAAAAAAGUUAAAAAAUUAGAUCUCAAUAAAUUUACUUGAGAACUACUUUACUGAUUAGUGAAGAGAAAACACAAAGAAUAAUGAUGAAUAUCAAUUAAUAGGUCAGUUUUUGUAUUUUUCGUUUAUUCAAGAAUCAUGAAACUUCAUUGGAGACAUUCCUUUCCAAUUAUGCCCAUAUAUUAAUUAAAGACCACCAAAAAGUUCAGGGAUACUAUAGUAAUUUAAGUCAACAAUUUCUGUGCUUGAAAUCAGCCGAUUGAACUCACUUUAGAAUAAACUGAUAAAUCAAAAUCACAUUCUCCGAUUCUCCGAUUUCAUGCAAUUCAUCUUAUUUCUUCAACUGAAGAAUGGAUUGUAUCUCGUUUUAUUUUAUUUUUAUUUUUAUAUAAAGAUAAAUAUAAAAUAUAAAUGACGAGGAGACUGUAAAAGUAAAAUCAAAAGAACAACACGAGUUUUAUUGAAAAUGAAUCUUUUCAUCAUUUUGUUGGAGUGGAUGUGUCUACAUAAAAACUAAAGAAGCACAUUUGUUUGUAUUAACUUUUUUUUUAUUGUAUUUUUAAUAAUAAGUCAUUUGUCAAUGACCUUAUAUCAAUUUUUACGAAAAUAAUAGGUGUGUGUUAGUUUAUUCAAAUGGCAAAACCUCUUGGGAUAGAGCUUGUAAUUUAGUGGCUCACGAUUUGUCUAAAUUGACACUACCGAAUUAUUGUAUUUGGUUAAAAAAGCUCCUACUCUGCUUUAACUUUAUUAUCCUAUGAUGUUUAUUAAUAAAUAACAAUUUUAUUGAAAAAAAGACCUCUUGAAAUGAUACAAAAGAUUUGUGAUAUGAAUCUCACUCGAAUUUAGCUUGAGGUUGGCAUUGUUAGCAUAAUAUUUGAAGAUAGAUUUUUUUAAUUAAAAAUCAAAAGAUUUUUUUUUUUUGGGGUUCAUACUAGUUAGUUUUAACUCAUAGUGAGAUUUAAACAAAAAUGGAAUAAUAAAUCUUGAUAUCCUGACUCAUGGAUAACGUAUAGAUAAGAUAGUAAAAUUUAUUGUGUCGAAAAUAAGAGGUUUGAAGUUUGAAUUUCGCUUACAUAGAUAGUAAGAGAAUCAAAUUAUUGAUAGAUUAAAUUAAUUAAAAAAUUUUCUGAUAUCCAAAACAACAUAUCAACAAAAUUGAAAUAAAAGAAAAUUGAAGAGGAAAACCAUUGAGUUUGUGAGAACGAAAAAUUAACACAAGAAAAUUUCGAUCGCUAAUUGUAUCAGCGUGCGCCAACUUCACUUAUUAAAACAUGGCUAUUUCAUUUUCAUGGAUAAUCAAUUUGACACCGGUCAAAUUUAAAAGUUUUAAAAACUAUGGGCGAUUUGUCUUUCCAGCUAUGCCCAUUAACUAAUAAGAGAACCGCCGAAAGGGUUCGGGGAUAAUAUAGUAAUUUAAACCAACUGUGCUUCAAAUCAUCAAAUCAAACUCACACCUCACAAAAGCAGAGAAAUCAAACGGUUUCCGACUCUACGCUUUAAAUUCAGCUUCAUUUCUUCAACUGAAGAAUCGGUCGUCUCUCAUUUUUUAUUUAUUAUAUAAAGAAUCGGUCACUCUUCAAGUAACUAACUUUUCCUCUUUCACUUCUCUUCAUUUUUAUUAGUUAAUUAAGAUCCAGUUAAUGUAAUUAAUUUUAUUUAAUCUUUUAAAUAAAGUUCUAGAUUAGGCUAACUUAGAUUCAUGUGAAGUUGAAGUGAUUUACUUUCGAUCUCUUUUUCGUCCUAUGUUUAUUUGUACUUACUAUUACUUUUUUUUUUUGGGUUUAAAUUUUCGUUUUUGAAGUGUUUACUGAUUAAAUUUCUGAGCUUUAUUUGUGUAUGAUGAUUGAUUUGUGAUUUUAAUUUGUGACUUUUUUUUUUGGAAUUUAAAUUUGAAUGCUUUUUAAGUUGAAUUGAAUUGCUGUAUGAUCAGGUCAAAUUAAAAUGUUUAAGCUCAUUUUUAAGAAACGAAUUCUCAAUUGGACCAGCCUUUCACAGAAGCUGAUAUCACAGAAGCUUUGAGUCAGAUGCAUCCAACCAAAGCCCCUGGCCCAGAUGGUCUCCCAGCAGUAUUUUUCCAAAAGCUUUAGAAUUCAGUAAGCGAAGGAGUUAUAGCCACUUGUCUGCAUAUCCUCAAUGAUGGAGGUAAUAUUGCUCCUUUGAAUCAUACAUACAUUGCUUUAAUCCCCAAGAUAGCAAAACCUAGGACUCUGAUGGAGUAUAGACCAAUCAGCAUAUGUAAUGUAAUUUAUAGGAUCAUUGCAAAGACUAUAGCGAAUAGGCUGAGGCUAAUCUUAGAUCAUGUUAUUUCACCAACUCAGAGUGCUUUUAUGCCAAAUAGGCUCAUAACUGAUAAUAUAAUUAUUGGGCAUGAGUGUCUUCAUAAGUGGACAAAGCUAAGUUCCAGAGGUGAGAUAGGAAAUUCUCCCGCACGACACAGCAGAAACAAACUUUCCCUUUCAUUUUCUUUUCUCUUUCUCGCUCUCCAAACAGAGCAAAAGGACCGUCACAAGAUUCUUCACUUCCAUCCAAAAUCAUGAGCAACAAAUGGUGAGCCUCCCUGUUUCCUUCCUUUUUUUUAUAUUAACCUUGUUAACAUAUACUCAUUUUAAUUUGACAAUACUUCAACUUUUUUUAAUUUUUUGCCUUUUCAUUUUUUUUGUUGAAGCAAUUAUCUGUUCAAGCUGUUGCUUAUCGGAGACUCGUCCGUCGGAAAGUCCUGUCUGCUGCUCCGAUUUGCUGUCUGUUGACUUUUCCUUUCCCUUCUUAUUUUCUUUUUUUAUAUUAAUUACUUUCUAUUUUAGCUUUUUGUUCUCUGAAUUUGUGUUAUUAAAAUGAUAAUUUAGAUGAUAAAUAAUUGUUAUUGUUGUAAAUUUCGGUUUUCAUUACGUUAAUUGUUAGCUUUUAGGUUUAUUAAUGUAAUUUUUUUUUUUUCAAUUUUUCAGGAUGAUUCUUAUGUCACAGCUACAUCAGUACCAUUGGAGUUGAUUUUGUGAGUCUCUCUUCUAUAUAUAUGUAUAUAUGUGUAUAAGUUAUAAUAUGAGUCUAUGUACGUGUAUGUAUGUAUGUGUAUGCAUAUGUGGAAAGAAAUGUUGGCAGACUUCAGCAUUUUACUCUUUUUUUUUUUGGCAGAAAAUAAGAACUGUGGAGCUGGAUGGGAAGACGAUCAAACUGCAGAUUGUGAGUCAAAAUUUCCUUUUAUCUUGUAUUGAGAGAAAUUCGAUUUGUCUUAUUUUCUUUGUUUGAAGAGUGAUAUGUUGAAAUGAGUGUAUUUGUCUUAUAAACAUCAUUUAGGUAAUGUCUUAUGUUUGAUUGUUUUUCAUCUGUUUAGUGGGACACUGCUGGACAGGAGCGAUUCAGGACUAUAACUAGCAGUUAUUACCGAGGAGCCCAUGGAAUCAUAGUAAGGAGCCUUCCCGGUUCUUGGUUUAAAUCAGAAAGUUUGUGAUUUACAUGUGACAUCUUAACAGCAUUGUAUGUGUUUAUUAACUUAUUUUUCAUCUUUCAUUAAGCAGUACAUUUUCUAUUAAAUCUGUAUACAAGAUGAUGUAGUCCAAGAAUGGGAGCCAUAAUAUGAUGCAAAUUGUCUAAUAAAUUCUUAUGACAUAUGAUGUUGUCGGAAGUAAAAGUCUUGCAAUGCUGUAUUCUCUUUUAAGAAAGAAUAAGUGGUAAUUUUGUUUUUCCAAUUUUUUAAUUGAGCAACUGUAUGAGAUUAAUUAAAUGUGUUGGGAUUUCAACAGAUUGUCUAUGAUGUAACUGGGAUGGAGAGCUUCAAUAAUGUCAAGCAGUGGUUGAAUGAGAUUGACAGAUACGCAAAUGACAGUGUAUGCAAGCUUCUAGUUGGGAACAAAUGCGAUUUAGUUGUGAACAAGGUUGUGGACACACAGACAGCCAUGGUAUAUUCAUGACUUUUGUUGCCUGAACUUUGAAUAUAAUUUUAAACUCUUCUCAAGUGCAUUUGCUUGGUAAGUUUCUGCAUACCCAGGACACUCAAACUUUGGACAGUCUGUAUCUCGAGUUGGAAUCUUUUCUGUCAAUACGACUUGUUAAAAUAAGGGUUGUUAUCUUUUGAAUCAUUCAAGAAUUCACUACUACAAAAAUGACCUUUACUGACACUUCGUUUCUGACACUUCGUUUCUGACACUUCGUAAAAAGUGUCAGUAAUGGUUUACAUUUUGGUCAUUUUUUCCAUUUAACAAAUAUGUAUCAUAAAUCACUGGUACUAAGGUGUCAGUAGCAUAAAACUCAGUAAUUACUGAUGCUUUAGUAUCAGUGAUAAAGACAAAUAUAAUUCUAAUUAUAUUUUUACUUGGACUCGAACUCAAUAUCUCCGAAGUUAAAAUUUUAAUUUCAAACUACAAGCCACGUGUGCGCAUAUUUUCUUUGUUUGGUUAAACCAUAUAUAAUUAACCAAAAACCCUUUGCCAUAAUUUAACACAAACUUUUCGAUCUCCCUCCACCAAAUUUUGUUCCCUCUCAAACAAACUAAAAUCCAAAUCCCUAAAAUUCCAAGUGCCUAAAUCCUUAACUCUCCCUAAGUGCUAACCAGUGACAGCCCCUCUCUAAGGCCUUAGCAGCACGCACGAUGACGGCGGCACACGUAGCCCGAGUACCGGCAGCCCAGCAGGUCGCACCACACAUUGCAGUAGCUCGCUCGCUUUCACUCUCUCUCUGAAUGCACACACAGCAGUGGCAGCCCCUCUCUCUCACGCUCGUUUUGUCGCUCUCACUUUCUCCGUCUCUGGUCACCAUCUCACCUUCCGGUCUAAACUGUUGUCGUCGCAGCCGCGUUCAGCCGUCGCCAUCGUGCCGGCCGCUUGAGACAGUGAGUUGAGAUUCCACUUUUUAAUUUUUUUUCAUAAAAUUUUUGCCUGAAUUUGAUUAGUCAAAUACUCAAAUUAAUUGCGUUGUGAGUAAUACUGUAAUGAUUUAAUUUGCCCUGCAUCCCCUGCAGAAGGUAAGCAACUCCAUUUUUAGGGUUCGUGUAGUAGUGUCUUGACUGAAUCGCCUUAGUAAUCAUAAGGUCAGUUUUCUCAAGAAGGGCAACUUCGAUCUUUUGGCAUUUUCAGUGCUGCUUCUGAAUCUCUGUUUACUGUAGCCUGCUUCUACAUGUGAUUUGAGGGCCAAGAAUUUAUCUCAAGGGAAAAUCACAUUAUGUUUCAAUUCUCUGUUUGACCCUUUUAACUUUUGAAUAUCAACAUUAUAUGUUUAGUGUUCCGUCAAUUGUUUUAUCAAAUACAUAGACCUUUGGGCUUUAGACACUAGUGUUCAAAAUUAGCAUCUAGUUUUUAUGGUAUCUUUGAGCAGGGGUUUCGCUUCAUUUGGUUGAAUAAAAGAUCAGUUUUCAUUGUCAUGGAUCAAAAAAAAAAAAAAAGGCCUUGGCCACUAGUACCUCAGGAGGUCAAAGCCAAGGCUUCCAAAGACAAUGUUCCCAUGAUCGAUGUGACUCAAUUUGGCUACUUUAAGGUUUUAGGUAAGGGCCUUUUGCUUGAGAACCAACUCGUUGUGGUGAAGGCCAAGCUUGUUUCCAAAAUAGCCAAGAAGAAACUUAAAAAAUCUGGUGGGUCUGUCGUGUUUACUGCUUGGGUUUAGUGUUAUUGCUUUUAUAAUUUUUUUUCUGUUAUUUUGGUUUCAGCUUUUGAGGAUUUGACUAUAUAGUUUUGGAUAUUUAUGUUAUCAUCGGAAACUUUUUGUUUUAUAUUAAGGCAUGUUAUUGAUUAAGAAGAAGAAGAAGAAGAAGAAGAAGAAGAAGAAGAAGAAUAUUUUGCAGAAAAUGUUUUAGUUUCUUUCUUCCAUUCGGCAUUUGUAGUAUUUAUUUGAUUCGAUUUCUGUCAUGGUGUGUUGAUUAUGCGGAUGAUAAGAUACUACCUUGCUCCUUUACUUAUGUUUGAUUCCUUAUACUAGAAACAUACCUCUAGUAGAGUUGCCAUUUAUCUACUUUAUUGUUGUAAAAUCUGUUAUAAAAUGUAUAAGCAAUCAUUCAUUUGAACUCUCUUUAUAUGCUUAAAAUCUGAAUUCAUGUACAAGGUGUUAGUGUCAAUGUUGUUGAUCAUUUCAAUAAGUAGUGCCAAUUUAUAAUGACCUUGGUGCAUUUCUAUUCAGUCAGUAAACUUUUGUCAUUUAAGUUGUUUAUUUGUUUAACAAAUGUAUAACUAGUUUCUACAAAUUUACUUUGUGUAUAAUAGAUGAUUCAAAAUCUUGGCAUAGAGGAAAGUGAAGUUUCUGAGGUAAAUAAGGUACUUUACAAAAACUAUACCACAUCAAUGGUUGGUCUAAGAUACAAUAUAUAUGUAAGUUUAAAUGCACUAUUAUUUAUAUACAUAUCCUUGCCAAAAAAAAAAAAAACCAAUAAAAGCAGUUUCAUAAACUGAUGUAAAUGUUGUUAUUAUUGUUAAUUUGCAGGCUAUCAGCUAUGAUGUCGACAAUGGUGACUAUCAUAGGUAACAUUAUUUUCCUUUCUAAUUCAUCUGAAAGUGUUAAUUUGCAGGGGCUGUUUCUACUACAGAAUAGCAACAAGACAGCCCCUGUAGAUUUCUAGUGGUUGUUUUCACUGCACAACAGCCCCUACAGAUUUCCGGGGGAUGUUUUGUUGCUAUUCUAAAGUCAAAAAAACUCGUAUAAUUUUUUUGGGCUAUUUUGCAAUGAAAAUACUUUUGAGGUUUGUUGAGGAAGGAGGGGAAUGAGAGCGGUAGUUUUUUAGAAGGCUUGAUGAGAGUUUCAUAAAUUUGACAAGUUUUAUGAGAUUAAAGUGAAAGAAGUUUAUGCUAAGGCUGAAAGUUUGAGUGGGUAAAUGGAUGUUUUGAUUGCAGAUUUCUGUUGUUUGAUUAUAAAAAAUAGGAAGGUUUUAAUUAGAUUGACUUAGAUGUUUUGUUUUCUGUGACUUGUAGCAGGUUAUCCAACAUGGCUUCUUUAGACAACUUAAGCUAAGGUUCUUUAUUUCUAUAACUUUCAGUAUUAUUGUAAUAUUAUUUCUUAUUAUUUUAUUAGUUGUUGAAACAUCCUUCAAUUGCUUUGUUUAACUACUCGCAAUCAAUUUGUUUUCCAUAAUCUAUUUCCAUACUAAUUGAUUUUAAUUAUGUUGUUGUAGGUGGGGAAAAAAUGAAGCUGCAUAUGGAUAUUGAGUGAUGUUCUUGUGCUUCUUUUUGGUGGAAACUAAAUUAGUACUUUGUGGUUGUUGAAAACUUAAUUUAGUACUUAUAUUUUUCUUUUCCAGAUAGUGGUGUAGUUGAAUCAUGUGAAUUUGAGUGAUGUAUUUGGGAUGUUUAUUAUGUGAAUUAUAUUGUGACAUUUUAUAUAUUUGAUAUAUUUUGAGCUUUCUUUUAGUUGUAAAACAAACAGGAAAAAUAUAAUUAGAAUAAAAAAAAUUUAUUAACCAAUCCUCAAUAACAUUACGAAAUACUGACAUUAAAUAUUUAAAUUGAAAUGAAUAUUUUUUGAUAUUAUCGAGCUAGCUUGUUAUUGAUACUAUAGUCACAUAAAUCACUGACAUGUAAAUAGUAUCAUCAAAUAUUAACAUUAUCGUAUCAUUAUUUUGGUGAUACUAUAGUGACAUGAAUUACUGAUACAAAAAUCACUGACACUAAAAAUUAGUGUCAGUGUGUUCUGGCUUGAGCAUCACUGACACAAUUAACAAGUGUCAAGAAAAGUAAUUACUGACACUAAUUUAGUGUCAGUAAAACCCAUUUUUGUAGUAGUGAUUGCAAUAAAUCUAAAGUCCAUAAAAAAUAUGAUUCCAUCAUUUUACUAUUAUAUCUAGACAAAACCCAUUAUUUUACUACAUUUCAUUGGCACCGAUAGUUGACCUGUUGGCUGACUGAUAAAAUAUCAAUUUUGCACUUUAUAUUAAUUGUUUUUUGGUUAAAAAAUAACACACAAAGUAUUACAAUAUUAUAAAUUCAAAAUAUAAAGUAGUUACAAAUAAUUCCUAUUAGCCUAUGAAUAUAAUAUUUGAUACCUCUAUUUGUGUAAUUUUUUUCCAAUGGUGAAAUUGUUAUUUUUUUUGUACUAACGGAAAUGUAGUAAAAUCAUAAGUUUUGUAAAGAUAUAGUAGUAAAAUGAUAGACUAAAAUACUUCUUGUAGUUGUUUGAUAUAUUGUAAUUCUUAAAGUAGUCAAUUGAUAAUAUCCCCUAAAAUAAAUGUUCGUAAUAUGUUCUCAUUUUAAUGCAACUGAUUGUUUAAUAAAAUUGUAUUUCUUUGUUAAUCUUUUAUCAUGUGCAUGCUCAGUGAGAAUUUGACUUGCUAGAACACAAGUUUGACUCUUCAUUUAAAUGUCUCUUGUAUCAUAUCCUUCAAUGUUGAGUGUGAUUCCAAUAAAAUUGAGUAGGGAGAUCCUUAAAUACCUUUUCCUUUUUUCCAAGGGCCUGCCAAAUUGCUCUAAGUGGUUCUACCCUUUAUCAAUGAAUAAUGAAAAUAAAAUUUUUAUUAAAGCAUUCUGUUCCUUAAAUGGUGACUAAUAGUACCCUUUUUUUUUUGGAGAGGAAAGCCAAACGCCCAAAGAGGAUCAUUUACUUUCCUCUAAUGUAUUUUCUAAUUCGUUUUGAGCCUUGAAUGUCUGUUUUGGUGCGUAUUCUCAUUCCAUGUCGAAUCUUAUCCAUAUGGACAACCCCACUUACAAAAAAGUCUAAUGAAUCUAUUGAAGUUCAUAUGAGGUUUGUGCUUUAGAUUUAGACCUCUCUCUCUCUCUCUCUCUCCACUUACAUGUCUUUCACUUACCUGUUUGCAUGCAUGCCCAUGCACACACUUUCAAGAUAAUACACGGUCACUCGUACUUCUGUUUUGGUUGAAUUACUGGCUGCUAACCUCUGUAAUUCAGUUUGAAACUUGCCACCCUUAGUGCUUCACUCAAAUGGUUGGUUAGGGUGAGAUCUGUAUCGUUUUCCUGGUCUCUUUCCAAGGUUAUCUAAAGGGAUUUGGCAGUCUGAUUCUUUAGGGAAUAUCAUUGCAUAAGAUAUCUAUUGUUUGUUAAUGAAUAAUUUCUAUUUAACUAGUUAUCUAUAUAAAUUGGUAAAUUUUAACUGCAUAAUUUGCAUGCAAUAAGAUUUUAUAAGAAUCUUGUUUUCAACGCAUGACUUAGACUAAUGUGAUAUGUUGAGCAUUAAGCUACAAGAUCUGCACAUCAAAGUGCUUCACAAUGUUAAGGAGAAAGCAUCUUUUUCUGCUUCUUCAUGUGAUUUAAAGUUUCCAUGGUACUUAUCUAAUAAAAUAUCUUUCAAGACUUUGGAAAUGCUUUUAUGUAUGACUGAGAGAAACUUGUUGGGUUGGUUUUUAGCAACAGACGGAGUUAUGGACUUUGUGUUGACUUGUUAUUGAUUAAGACAGUACAUCGGCUGAUCUAUUGGCAUCAAGCAGCAGAUGCAGAAAUUAUGGGUGGCAUACCAUUGUAUCCAAAUAACAUACUACAUUGAUUUUUCUGACUUUCUGUUGGCCUCCGAGUGAAAUGCAGGCAUUUGCAGAUGAACUGGGGAUUCCUUUCCUGGAGACGAGUGCCAAAGAUGCAAUCAAUGUGGAGCAGGCUUUCUUGACCAUGGCCGGCGAGAUUAAGAAAA
This 72439-nucleotide long non-coding RNA is filed under the name Citrus maxima (pomelo). RNAcentral's name for it is "long non-coding RNA (CMAX_LNC001759)". The record is from RNAcentral. Lineage: Eukaryota; Viridiplantae; Streptophyta; Magnoliopsida; Sapindales; Rutaceae.